GUUUGAAUCUUUUCUGGAAUCAGUUGUCAGGAGAGAUACCAGCAAAUAUAAGCCUCAUUCCUACACUAGAAACCUUCAAAGUUUUUAGCAAUCAAUUGAGUGGAGUUUUGCCCCCAGCAUUUGGCCUUCAUUCGGAGCUCAAAUUCUUUGAGAUUUUUUAGAAUAAACUAAGCGGGGAAUUACCUCAACAUUUAUACGCUAGGGGGGCUUUGCUUGGAGUGGUCGCUUCCAACAACAAUCUCAGCGGGGAAGUGCCCACGUCCCUCGGGAAUUGCACAAGUUUACUCACCAUUCAGUUUUCCAACAAUCGUUUUUCAGGUGGGAUUCCUUCCGGAAUCUGGACAUCCCCGAACAUGGUAUCGGUGAUGUUAGAUGGAAAUUCAUUCUCAGGGACACUUCCAAGUAAAUUGGCAAGGAAUUUGUCUAGAGUGGAGAUCGCUAACAACAAGUUUUAUGGUCCAAUUCCUGCUGAAAUCUCUUCCUGGAUGAACAUCUCUGUGCUCAAUGCCAACAACAAUAUGUUGUCUGGAAAAAUUCCAGUGGAAUUGACUAGUCUUUGGAACAUCACUGUUCUGUUGCUUGAUGAGAAUCAAUUCUCGGGUGAACUUCCAUCCCAGAUCAUCUCAUGGAAGUCGCUCAAUAAGUUAAAUCUCUCAAGAAACAAACUUUCUGGCCUAAUUCCCAAGGCAUUAGGUUCUUUAACUAGCCUUAGUUACCUCGACCUGUCAGAAAACCAGUUCUCAGGUCAAAUUCCUCCUAAACUUGGCCAUUUGAACCUUAUUAUCCUCCAUCUUUCGUCCAACCAACUCUCUGGGAUGGUCCCCAUUGAGUUUCAACAUGAAGCAUAUGAAGACAGUUUCUUGAACAAUCCCAAGUUGUGUGUCAAUGUUCCCACUUUGAACCUCCCUAGAUGUGAUGCCAAACCCGUCAACUCCGACAAAUUGUCAACCAAAUAUCUCGUUAUGAUCCUAAUUUUCGCUCUAGCUGGUGCUUUCGUCUCCUUGUCCAAGGUUCAUAUCUAUCAUAGGAAGAAUCACAGUCAGGACCAUACAGCUUGGAAAUUUACUCCAUACCAUAAACUAGAUCUCGAUGAAUACAACAUAUUGUCCAGUUUGACAGAAAAUAAUCUGAUCGUAUGUGGUGGGUCAGGGAAAGUAUACCGAGUUGCUAAUAACCGUUCUGGUGAACUCUUAGCGGUUAAAAUGAUUUGUAAUAACAGGAGAUUGGAUCAAAAGCUUCAGAAACAAUUCGAAACAGAAGUCGAGAUAUUGAGCACCAUGCGCCAUGCCAAUAUAGUGAAGUUGUUGUGCUGCAUAUCAAAUGAAACCUCUAGUCUUCUUGUUUACGAGUACAUGGAGAAGCAGAGUUUGGAUAGAUGGCUUCAUGGGAAGAAGCAGAGAACAUCGUCCAUGACAAGUUCAGUUCAUAACUUCGUCUUGGAUUGGCCAACAAGGUUGCAGAUUGCCAUUGGAGCUGCAAAAGGCCUAUGCCACAUGCAUGAAUACUGUUCUGUCCCAAUCAUACAUCGAGAUGUGAAGUCCAGCAACAUCUUGCUAGAUGCCGAGUUCAACGCGAAAAUUGCGGAUUUUGGAUUGGCUGAGACGUUGGUCAAGCAAGGAGAACCCAACACCAUGUCAAGAAUUGCAGGCUCUUACGGGUAUAUUGCCCCUGGUAUGACCAUCAAGGCCCUCCUUUCCACAUGUUUUCAUUUCCAUAAUUUAUCGAUAAUUUGUAUCAUACCAUUCUUGUAUACUUGGAUGAUAGAGUAUGCUUAUACAACAAAGGUGAACAAGAAGAUCGAUGUAUAUAGCUUUGGAGUAGUCUUGCUUGAGCUUGUGACAGGUAGAGAACCCAACAAUGGGGACGAGCACAUGUGCCUUGCGGAAUGAGCAUGGAAUCAGUUCAGAGAAGGGAAAACCAUUGAGGAAGUGGUAGACGAGGAGAUCAAGGAACAAUGUGAUAGAGCACAAGUGGCCACUCUCUUCAAACUAGGCAUUAAGUGCACUAACAAAUUACCAUCCAAUAGGCCCACAAUGAAAGAGGUUUUGAAAAUUCUUCAAUAGUGCAGUCCUCAGGAGGGCCAUGGAAGAAAUAAAAAGGACCAUGAAGUUGCACCUCCACUUUGAAAUGACACUUAUCCCACCACUUACAAGUUGUGAGGAUAAAGCCCUUAAAAACAUGAUAUGAUGUAAUAAAUUUGGAAGUCAUUAUUUAUUUAAUGAUGUUCCGAUUUCACUUUUAUCUAUCCUUAUUCCAUGUAUUAUACUUUAUGAGUAUUCUCGCCUGCAUCUUUUGCAUUGCACUAGCUUAGGUGCAUUAAGAGUUGCAUAGAAGAUCUAUGUCAUGGGUUCCUUGCAAAUAUAUUACUUGUUCACAACCAGUUCAUGGGUCUAGGAAGCCCAUUAAAUGGCUUCAUGGGAAGAAGCAGAGAACAUCGUCCAUGACAAGUUCAGUUCAUAACUUCGUCUUGGAUUGGCCAACAAGGUUGCAGAUUGCCAUUGGAGCUGCAAAAGGCCUAUGCCACAUGCAUGAAAACUGCUCUGCCCCGAUCAUACACCGAGAUGUGAAGUCCAGCAACAUCUUGCUAGAUGCCGAGUUCAACGCGAAAAUUGCGGAUUUUGGAUUGGCCAAGAUGUUGGUCAAGCAAGGAGAGCCCGACACCAUGUCAGGAAUUGCAGGCUCUUACGGAUAUAUUGCCCCUGGUAAGACCAUCAAGGCCCUCAUUUCCACAUGUUUUCAUUUCCAUAAUUUAUCUAUAAUUUUUAUCAUACAAUUCUUGUAUACUUGGAUGAUAGAGUAUGCUUAUACAACAAAGGUGAACGAGAAGAUCGAUGUAUAUAGCUUUGGAGUAGUCCUGCUUGAGCUAGUGACGGGGAGAAAACCCAACAGCGGGGACGAGCACAUGUGCCUUGUAGAAUGGGUAUGGGAUCAGUUCAGAGAAGGGAAAACCAUUGAGGAAGUGAUGGAUGAGGAGAUCAAGGAACAAUGUGAAAGAACACAAGUGACCACUCUCUUUAGUCUAGGCCUCAUGUGCACUACCACAUUACCAUCCACUAGGCCAACAAUGAAAGAGGUUUUGGAAAUUCUUCGACAGUGUAGUCCUCAGGAGGGCCUGGUAGAAAGAAAAAGGACCAUGAAGUUGCACCUCCACUUUGAAAUGACACUUACCCCACCACUUACAAGUUAUGACGAUAAAGCCCUUAAAAACAUGAUGUGAUGUAAUAAAUUUGGAAGUCAUUAUUUAUUUAAUGAUGUUCCGAUUUCACUUUUAUCUAUCCUUAUUCCAUGUAUUAUACUUUAUGAGCAUUCUUGUUUGCAUCUUUUGCAUUGCACUAGCUUAGGUGCAUUAAGAGUUGCACAGAAGAUCUAUGUCAUGGGUUCCUUGCAAAUAUAUGACUUGUUGACAACCAGUUCAUGGGUCUAGGAAGCCCAUUAGAGGUUGUAAUAAACCACUUCCUAAUUGGAAGAAUGGCUAGUCUUAGCUAUUGGGAUGAGUUUCCAAUGGUAAGUGCAUUAGUGUGUAUGCUUACAUAUUGGACAUGACCUAUGGUGAAUCAUGACUUAAGGUUAUCAAGCAGUCAUGACCUUAUCAAACUGCUUCAUUAUGUUGUCUCUCAACCUUGAGAGAAUAUCGAGCUUGUACUAAAGUCAGCAAUGACUUUGACAUACGGGUGAAAUCAUAAGUUGAUCAUAUAUUCCCUAUGGAUUGAGUCACUGUUGAUGGAAGAUGGUAGUGAUAGGUAUUUUCAAUAAAAACACCAUGAUGUCUCUUGGGAUUAAGACAACGUGCCCCUUUUAGUGAUCCUAAAGAGGUGUGUUCAUAGAAACUAUGGUCAUAAUAGUUCCUUAAGUAAAACUCGACAUAGGCUCUUUGAGAGCUAAGACAUGUCAAUUGAAUACACAAUAUGAGGAUUUAUAACUCAAAGAUGGUAGAGGUAGUCUUGAAAGACUAAUAACUUUCACUUUGUUAGACUACGAAUAUCAGUUCAUGGGAAGACUAAACACAAUAAAUAGCAAGUCACAAACCUGAACAUUUGGUAUCUCAUUGUUAUUUUCAAUAAAAUAACAAUGAGAUGGUAAGUUGAUCAUAUAUACCCUAUGGAUUAGGUCAUUGUUAAUGGAAGAUGGUAGCAAUAGGUAUUUUCAAUAAAAGUACCAUAAUAUCUCUUGGGAUUAAGAUAGUGUGCCCCCUUGGAUGAUCCUAAAGAAGUGUGUUCAUGGAAACUAUAGUCAUAGUAAUUCCUUAAGUAAAACUCAACAUAAGCUCUUUGAGAGCUAAGACAUGUCAAUUGAAUACACAAUAGGAGGAUUUAUAACUCAAGGAUGAUAGAGGUAGCCUUGAAAGACUAAUAACUUUCACUUUGUUAGACUACAAAUACCAGUUCAUGGGGAGACUAAACACAAUAAAUAGCAAGUCACAAGCUCGAGCAUUUGGUAUCUCGUUGUUAUUUACAUAGGAUACCGAAGUUCAAUUGAUUCUCUGUAGUGGGAUGUUGAAUCAACUUUAGAAUUGGAUUUUGAGAGAGUCAGUAUUCCUAUGGCUCCCAAUGGUCCUUGCUCUAAGCUUAUAUACUUUGUUGGCAUGGAUUAUAAGAGUCAGAUUGGCUCUAGAUUUACUUUUGUACAUAAGGGCAUUUUGAUAAUUACGCAAGGUUACAUAAAGGUAAGUGAACAAGGUUUUUAGAUUGGGUUAAUUGAUUAAUUAGUAGGCCUUGUUUGAUUAAUUAAUCAAUUAAGACUUUUUUGGGCUAUAUUAAGUGACCUAAGCCCUUAGUGGGCUCAAGUCACUUAAACCUAAUAGAAAACCCUAUAAAUACCCCCUUAAGGGUUAGAGUUUGUAUAGUUUUUCUAAAGAGCCAUCUUCUAUCUCCAGAGAGAGAAAGAAAGAGAAAGAGUCAUAGUGUCCACCUCCCUUCUAUCUCUACUAGAAGUGUGUCAAGAUCAAGGUUCAAGUCAUUGGGAGGAAGACUUUGGAUUUACGAGACUUCUGCGAUUUCGUUCUUCAUUUUCACCACGUGGAUUUGAUUCAAGAACAUCCGAAUUUAAGGUAUGGUUUUCAUUAGCACUUUCUGAAUCCCUUUAAAGUUUAAAAAUGUUAUUUUUCCUUUGUGCAUAGGAUUAAUUUAGAAAAUGCUUAGAAUAGUUAUGCAUGUUCCAAACCUGAUCUGAGCUUAGGAAAUGGAGAGAUCCUAGUUUUUUCCCUCAAUGUUUGUGCUCCAAAGUGUUGAGAUAGUUUAGAGGGUGACAUGAUGAUUGACAUAAUACCUUAUGUAGAUAACCUAGUGAAUCCCUUCUCCAAGACAUUAAUAGGGAGAGUCUUUGUUGGUCACAUGGAUAGCAUAGGUUUCAGAUGAGUAUUUGGCAUGCUUUAAAGGCAUGAUACUUUGAGGGCUAAUAGGAGAAUGUUAGGAUAAAGCCCUUAAAAGUAUGACAUGAUGUAAUAAAUUUGGAAUUCAUUAUUUAUUUAAUGAUGUUCUAGUUUCACUUUUAUCAAUCUUUAUUCCAUGUAUUAUACUUUAUGAGCAUUCUUGUCUGCAUUUUUUGCAUUGUACAUGACUUAAGUGCAUUAGGAGUUACAUAGAAGAUCUAAGUAAUGGGUUUCUAGCAAAUAAAUGACUUGUUCACAACUGAUUCAUGGGUCUAGGCAACUGAUUACUACUCAAAAAGUGUUAUUUGAUAGCUUGUAAUUAACUCUUUUAAACACUUUUGAGUAGUAGUUAUCACCUUUUAACCCAAUUAACAUAUUAAGGACCCUUACAAUCAAUUCUAAUAAAAUUGUGUUAAGUUUUGGUGUUUUGAUAGCUUUUUUAUCACCAAAGCAAUCCGAGAUUGAGGAGAGUUCUUUGGAAUCCAUGGCAAAGAUGUCUGGACAGGGCGUCUGGACACACCAUCGGAGGGCGGCGGAAUAUGGGUUGUGGCAAGCUGUCGGAAUGACGUAGCAAGGCUUGCUCACUUUAGUCAAUGUUUUCCAUCCGGACAACAUAUCCGGAUAGGAUAUGCUAUCGUCCGCGGUGUGAUGUGCACGAGUGUCGUGUGCUUCUCCCUGAGGGAGUCCGGAUAGCAUAGCGGCGCGUGUCCUCUUGGGGAAUCCGGAUGGAGUUGCACCGGAUAGCAAUGCGCGCUCCGUGUCAUCAGGGGGAGGGGUCCCUACACCUUGUACACGCAGACGAUCCCCCUUGCGACGCGCGGGUAUCUCACUCCCGAAAUUCUGUCUGGUCAGACAUGUCCGGAUCCUCUGAUCGGAUAUUUCACAUCUGGAUAUCUCACAGCCGGAUGGGAGAGGAGGACGUUUCAACUUCCCUGGUCAGACAUGUCCGGAUCCUCUGAUAGCGCCUACCCGAAGAGUUUUUCUCUCAGUAUAUAGUGUCGCGGUGUUCUCCUGAAGCUUCCUGAUAUUUUCGACCGACAUCUUGAGAUAUUUUGCUUUAGAUAUUUGAUGUCUAAAUCCCCAAACUCUCUUUGUAACCCACCUAUCAUAGGAUCUCUUAGUCUUUAAGUAAGAAAAAGGGUGAAUAACCUCUGAUAUAUAUAGUUUGUAAUUUUCUUUAUAAGAAAUUAUGAUGUAAUCGGCGGAAGAAAGAAAUAUAUUUCACAGAGCACUUGCUCUGAUUUUCAUAUAUAUUUUUGUUUUCUCAUUCUUUUUCUUACUAGCCAAACAAGCUCUGAGGAAGUUUCCUCAGAGAAUGAGUGGCUAGACUUUUAGUUCCUUGGAGCUAAGGUUGCCGGGAAAGGUUUCAAGUGCAAGAAUUUAUAGUUUUGUGGUUUCGGCCAUUAAUGAAGAGAAAGUAUGAUCCUUUAAUGAUUUCUAUGUUUUUUAGUUAACUUAAAACACCUUCAAUUCACUUGAGACAACACUUGGUAAGGCAAGUGAUCUCCGUCCAUGGAGAUGCACUAGUUUGCCUCUUGCGAGCUUUUGAGAAGUGACUUGAAGGUAGGAUUUUCUAGAAUUGUCAACACUUGGUAAGCUUUUGGACUCCAAGGAGACAUCCAUUAGUUAUCUUUUGUGAGCUUGAGAAGGGAAGUCCAAAGUUAAUGAUCACCUUGAAUGGCAAAUGCUAGAUGAGAGGCACGAGCCAUUGCAAGUUGCAUCAAUGAGAAGAAACUAGAGUUGAAAUCCAUUUAAAGGAUACAUCUGUACAACACCGGUUAGAGAAUUGACUAUAUGUAAAUUCUCUAAUGCGAGGAAAUGAACCAAAUGACCGAAGCUCUAUUUUUGCAUAAGAAACCUCCCCUGUGAACCUAAACCUCCAAGGAAUGUUUUUCUUCAUAAGUCAUUUCCAUUACUUUCUUUUUAGUUAGCUUUAAACAAAAUCUCAUUUAAACAAAGUUUAUGUUUUAUUUCUUAAGCUAAUCUUGAAAUGAAAAAGCACCAAUUUAACUUUGAAUUGGUAUCAGUUGUGAGUUGAAAACCCUUUCCAGUGAACGAUCCUAGAGCCACUAUGCUAUAUUAGCUAAAGUUAUCCUAAUGCAUAGUGAUAUAGGUUAUAAAUUUUGUUGAUCACUCCCUCAGUCAAGGAGCACCAACUGGACAUGAAUCAGCUAAGACACCAAUUGGGAAUGAAUCAGCAACCCACUAGAGGUUGUAGUGCACCAUACCACCUUCUAAUUGGAGGGAUGACUAGUCUUAAUUAUCAGGAUGAGUUUCCCAUGGUGAGUGCAUUACUAUGUAUGGUUACAUAUUAGACAAGACCUACGGUGUGUCAUGGCUUAAGGCUAUCAAGUAGUCAUGACCUUACCAACCAACUUCAUUGUGUCAUCUCUCAACCUUAAGAGAAUAUUGAGUUUAUACUAAAGUUAGCAAUGGCUUUGACCUACGGGUGAGAUCAUAAGCUAAUCAUAUAUUCCCUAUGGAUUGGGUCAUUGUUGAUGGAAGUCGGUAGCAAUAGGUAUUCUCAAAAGAGGUACCAUGAUAUCUCAUGGGAUUUAGACAGUGUGUCCCCUUGGGUGAUCCUAAGAAAGUGUGUUCAUACAAACUAUGACCAUAGUAGUUCCUUAAGUGGAACUUGACAUAGACUCUUUAACAGCUAAGACAUGUCAAUUAAAUAUAUAAUUGGACGAUCUGUAACUCAAAGAUAGUAGAGGUAAUCUUUAAGGAUUGAUAACUUUCACCUUAUUAAACUACAAACACUAAUUCAUGGGAAAACUAAACAUAAUGGAUAGCAGGUCACGGAUCCGAGCACGUAAUAUCUCAUUGUUAUUUACAUAGGAUAUUGGAGUUCAAUUGAUUCUCUAUGGUGGAAUGUUGAAUCAACUUUAGAAUUGGAUUUUGAGAAAGUCAGUACUCCUACAGGUCCCAAUAGUCCACACUCUAAGCUCAUAUAACCUAUUGACACAUAUUAUGAGGGUCGGAUUGGCUUUAGGUUCAUUUUUGUGUAUAAGGGCAUUUUGGUAAUUACACAAGGUUACACAAGGAUAAGUUAACAAGGUCUCUGGAUUGGACUAAUUGAUUAAUUAAUAGGCCUUAUUGGGUUAAUUAAUCAAUUAGGACUCAUUUUGAGUUAGAUUAAAUGACCCAAGCCCAUGUGGGCUCAAGUCACUUAAGCCCACUUAGGAACCCUAUAAAUACCCCCUAGGAGUUAGGGUUUCCACAACUUUUGUCCUCCACCUGUUAGGAUAGAGCCCUUAAAAGUAUAACAUGAUGUAAUAAAUUUGGAAUUCAUUAUUUAUUUAAGAUGUUCUAGUUUCACAUUUUUUAUUUAAUGUGAAGACGUUUGGAACCCAUCCCUCCUUCACAGAUUUAUCCAAAAGUUGCAUGCUCUGACUCAAGUUUCCAUGCAUACACAACCCUCUGAAGUGAUCAUCAACUCCAUUACCUUAGUAGUUUUUUCCAUGUCAAGCAUACAGUUAGUUUUGAGAGCGAGACCCACUUUCACUAUGAACUCAAUGACCGUGCUUCGAUCAACUAGUUUGGCAUUUUCAUUUCUUUAUGGCAGCCAAAUUUGGACUAUAUCUAACACUUGGCAGCCAAAGGGCAUGAAUCAAAAACAGAGGAAAGCGACAGAAAAAAAAAAAAAAAAAAAACAAAGCACAAAUGGUUGAAACAAAACGAACUAAUAAAAGCCACAUUUUAUGUUUCAAUCAACCGGCUUAGAUGUAGGUGAGUGAAACUGAAAAGAUUUUAAACAAGAACACGAGUAUUAUUCAGACAUUCUAUAGGAAAGCUACAACAGAGAUAAUUCAUGCUCAAACAUAACCAAAGGAAAUGAGGCAUGAAUCAACUAUAACCAAAUCACAAAAACCAAGAGAUUAACAAUAACAAGUGUGUGUCCUACGGUUAUCCAGACCCAAAACAUGGAAAAUUUUAGAAUCUAAUUGAUAAAUGAAAGAAAAAAAAUGGAAAAAAUGGAAGAAAAUUAAAUACACAAUUUAAAGGACUGAGAACCUGACCUGAACUCUCCUGUGAGAUUUAGCAAUUUAUGAACGUAUCUUCAGGCCCCUGUAGAUGAAUCCAUGCUUGGUGGUAGUAUGCUUAUUGAUGAUAGUCUGGAGAUGUGGAAAUCAAAUGAUUCUGAUGAACUAAAUUUGAUGUGUGAUGAGAUAGAUGACGUGUUAUCUAAGGAUCACAAAGUUCAUCAAUAGAAACUCGUUUGAUGAUGCGUCAAUCUGAUGGAGAGAAUCCGUUGAUAAAAAAUGAUGAAAUGCCAAUUUGAAGAUAGUGACUGCGAUUCAUCUCCCGAUAUGAAUCUAAUGAGAACGUUCAGGAGUUAGAAAUGGAGAGCUCUAAUGGCAGUGGUGAUUUGCAGCAACGUCAAUCUCUGGUGGCAGUGAUAGCAAGCUCUAAUGGUGGUAAACUAUGCCGACAAAGACAAUCUCCAUGAAUUGCACAACAAACUUCAAUGGCGAUCUCCAGUGGUGGUGAUGAAUUCUCCUACAACAAUGAACUCUCAUUCUCCUGAAGAGAUGAACUCUCAAAUGUCGGUGAAUUAUUUUUAUAUAUUUUUUUAAUAAAUUUUAAAUGAAAUAAAAUAAAUAAAUUUUAAAUUUUUAUAUAUUUUUUUAAACUCAUUUAACUUAUUUUAAUUUUUCAAUUAUAAAAUUAAAUAAUUUGAAAAUAUAUAAAUUUCUAACUAAUUUUAAUUAUAUUUUAUUUUCUUUUAUAAUUUUCAUAUAUAGUAUAACCAAUACCAAUGUUUUCAAAAUCAGACCGAUGUUUGAACCGGAAAAGUUACCAGUUCACGGUUCAUUAGUCGAACUGGUAGUCAAACCGCGGUCGAAUCAAUGACAUCAUAAAUAAUAAUUUUUUUCUUUUUUCUCACUAACUAAUCCCACAUUGGAAAUGGAUCAAAAAUAUGUAGGAAUUGUGGUAUAAAAGGCAAGUUAGAAUCAUUAACUUGCAAGACUAAAAGCUUAUUGGGCUUGAUGACAAACGGGUUGGAUAGGCUCCUCAUGAAGUGAUCCGGUUCUCUUAUGGUAUCAAAACUUUUUUUAUGGCUUUAAACUAAAUAAAUAAAUAAACUAUUCGGAUCGCUAAGAAUCGCCCGGUUGGGGCGGUUCACUAGUUCAACCGUUGGUUUGAUGCCCAAACGGUUUUUUGGGUGGACCAGACUGGUUUUGUUACCGAUCGGACCAACUGGUCCGGUCCGAUUUUUAAAUCAUUAUCAAAUACAAUAAAAUAAUUUUCCUUAACAUUUCUUUUAUUUUUUUAGUACUUCUCAAGAAUCAAACAUAAUCAUAAGACUAAUCAUAUUUUUUAUUAUAAGAUCAUUCGAAUACAAUGCCCCAAGUGAGAAUCCCAAAACGUUUUUCAAUGUUUUACUAAUAUUAAGAUUUUGAAAAUCUAUACAAUUUCUUUUUUUUUUUUUUUAAUAUUUGGAUGAUAGAGCAUGAGUAUACAAGAAAGGUCAAUGCAAAGAUCAAUGCCUACAAUCUUGAAAUUGCACUUCUAGAGUUGGGCCCUAAAAGAAAACCCAAUAGGGGGAAGGGGCAGCAUUUAAACCUUGUUCAAUGGGCAUGGCAACACCUUGGAGAAGGAAAGUCAUAUGUGAAAGCACCGGAUGAGGAGAUCAUGGCACAAUGCUACUUCAAAAAAAUGAGUACUACGUUCCCAAUAAUCAAACUUUAUCAUGAAAAUGUUGAUGAUAGUGAGGAUUCUCUUAUUUACAAGUAUAGAGACAAAUAGGCAAAAGGUAAAUAAAUUAUUAAUAGAGCUUAAAAUAAUAAAUUGAGCAAAUAAACAUAUGGUAAGAUCGAAACUCAUUAUCCUCCUACUAAAUAAAAUUCUAAUACCAUAUUGGAUAACUAAAUUUUUUAAGAACUUAAACUUAAGAUUUGGAUCCUUAUGAUUGUAUAUCACACUUUCUAAUAAUAUAUCAAAUACUUUUCUAGAUUUUGUGUUGACUUGUGAUUACUUCUCUAAAUCAAUUUUUCAGCAUCUUGUAUAUAUGUAUUUGUUAGGAUGAAUCAAUUAUCAAUGAAUGCAAAAAUGCAACUCCUCAUAGAGUCUCUUGCUUAUUUCCUCUACAACUUAAUUAGAUAAACUUAAAAGAACUCCAGAGUGAUUUCACAAAGAAAUAGGAUAAUUAUUUUAUUUUCAAACCUGCAAAAAAGAUAUGGAAACCGUAUCAUUGAAAUAAUUAGAACAGAAAAUAAUUGGAAUCAAAGUGCUAUUGCCUUAUUUUAAAAACAAAAAAUAAAUAAAAUAAAUCUUAGGCGCCUUUAUGCAAAACUAAAUAUUAGUUGCCUAAAGCUCCUUAUUUGGAAUACUAGAUGGGCGUCAAGCAUCAUUUCAACUCGGCACCUCCUUCGGUAAAUACCAAAAAUAAUAUUUGUUUUGGGAACAAGACUAGAGUUUUGAGCGGAUAUAAUAUAUUUUAAAAAAAUGCACAAAAUAGAUUUUCAAGUAAAAUAAUUCUCAAGUUUCAGCUACAUGGGCAUCCAUAUGGUCGGAGAUUAUUAUUUUUUUAAUGUUGUUCUAUGUCAUAAAACUUUAAUUAGUAACUACGAUUUUAUUUUUUAAAACAUAAAAUGAUAGUUAGCUAUUAUAGUUUUAAAUUUAUUUUUAAAAUCAUAGUCAUCAAUUACGAUUAUAAGCUUAAAUUUAAAACCUUAGUUGGUAACUAAUGUUUUAACCGUUUUACAACAAAAUCAAAAUUAUAGUUCACAACUAUGAUCAUGUGAUAUAGAUACAAGUGUCAAUAAAACACUCCAAUUUGAAAAUUAUUUUGAGAGGGGAUCUACUUUGUAGAUUUUUAUUUGUUAAAAUAAAUUAUUUUUCCUCAAGCCUUAGAAAACUAACUUGUUUAGAACUAAAUUCAAUUAUACACUCUCCUAAUUUUUCUUUUUAUAAGAUCAAAUCCACGUUAUCAGUUUUCCACUAGAAUCCUCAUGAUUACUCGUAGGAUUCUGGAGAUGAAAUGGAAGUGUGGUAUGAGAUGCAUGCUUGUUUAAACUUCAGUUUCAAUCUUGGUCAAUAAUGUCCAUUCCCUUAGAUAUGCAGGAUGUGGAACCACUGCUGGAUCCUUUGUGAGACUUGACCAUCAGUAUCCUUCUCUCCAUUUGUGGGGUACUGCCCACUUGAUCACUGCUGUGGAAAUUUGACCAACACACCCAAAUUCCCAACAACCCAAAACCACAGAUUUCUUCAUCCUUCCAUCCAUCUUUCUUGAAGUAAAAUAGACAUCCAUGUGGUCUUUGUUUUUCAUUGGUUUCACUUUCUCCCAAGAAUACUAAUCUUGUCUUUAUUGACUGAUUAGUUUAAUUAGAGAUCAUCCAAGAAAAAGAAUAUCACAUUUUAUAUUAAAAAAAAAAAGUAUUGAAUAUAUUAGCAAGAUAUCAUCCUCGAAAAGUUGGAAAUGUAAUCUUGUACAAGGAAAGGAAACAAGGGGGAGUCUUAAAUAAAUUGUUUCCAAAAGAGACCAAAUGACCCAUGUCUUUAGGGGUGUAUCCUUCAUGUAUAUAAAUAAGCAUUGAAAGCGAGGGAAUAUGGAAGUUUAGAGACAAGACUUUGUUUUCUAUGAAUAAAUUAAAUGUGGUUUCAUGGCUUCCAGCCCUUUUCAAAGUAUUCAGUGGAGAUUGGCCCGAUUCCAAUGGAUUGAUCACUUUUUCCAUAAUGCAUAGUUUGAUUAGGUCACCAACCAUUCGCUAAGCCGUCAUACCUUUUUUCUACACCAACUCAAAAACCCCACUUGUCCAAUAUGUUUUUAUUUUUUAAAACAGCCAUUAACACAACAUUUUUAAACACAUCCAUUCUCAUGUCUCUCUACCUAACGUUAAUAUCCCAUUUUUAAGUGAUUGAUGUAACCAUUUUCAAACACUUCCAUUUUCAUAUCUCUCACAUAUCUCCAUCUGAAUUUUGAAGUGAUUCUACUUUGAAAAAAAAUACUUUUAAAGAAAAUAUUUCAAUUAAAAACACAUUAAACAAAAAAUACUAUUAAACACACUUUUAAUUUAUAUUAUUUUUUAUCAGUAACACUUUUACUAUAAAAAAAUACUUUUAGUGGUAAUCACUUAAUAUUUGAAUAUACAAAUAAAAUUUACCUUUUAUAUAAUGUAUUAGAAAAAAAAAGGUUUUUAAAAGAAACAUCCAUCAAUAUAUUAUAUAACAAAUUAUUGUCUUUAAAACCUAAUUUUUAUUAUAAAAAAAAUGCUUCUAAAAAGGUAUUAUAUCUCACUCAAAAUUACUACCAAAUCAAUUCUAAUAAUAGUUUGAAAAUGGGUUGAACUUUUAUAUUUAUCAAGAAAAAAUUGUAGAAGUAACCACUAUGUUUGAAAAUUAUAUGUCAAAAAUAUUUUUAUUAAAGAGAAAGAUAAUUAUAACAAAGCUUAUUGUCAUUAUUUCUCGAUAACACAAUGAAAUCGUAUGGAGCUUAUAAUCAAAAGUUCUUUUCAAAUGACUAACAAAGGGUUUUAUUCUUGAGUUGUUUUAAUUUACUACUAUUUUUAUCAUUUACCUAUGUUAUUAAUGGUGAUUAAAUGAUAAAAAUAUAUAUAUUUAAUGCAUAUUAAUUUCUUUUCACAUCCAAUUUUCAAGUGGAUAUGCUAUAAAAAUGUUGUAAAAUAAUUUUUUUAAAAUAACAUUUUCAUGUGAUUUUUUAUUCAUAAUUAGUUAUAGAAAAAAAUUAAAAUGCUUAGUUAUGAUUAAAACGAUUCCAUUUCAUAUUUGACAUCAACACAUGUUAUUUUAUCAUCUAAUAUUGUUACAUUAAAAAACACUCAAUUUAACAUGAAUAUUAUUAAAUAUAUAUAUAUAUUUAAAAUUAUUUUAAUCUUUCUAUUUAAAAAAAAAAAUUGAUGCAUUAUCGAUAUUUCCAUGAAAUCCACACGUGUCCCAUGAUUAUAGACUAAUUCGUUUGUAGUGUGGACGCAAUGACAAGUCAGAAGUCUCCCAUUUCUUUUCUAGUCAAUGGGCAUGUUCCACAUUUAUUUAUGAUAUUUCGGAUUACACGAAGACUUCCAAAAGCAAUCGAUGGCCCAUUUUUCUUCUGAUAAGCUUCAUGGAAUCUUUUAGACGAAGGAGGAUGCUACUUCCACAUUCUUUAACCGAGCGUGUCAACCAAGCUCUCUCGAAUUUUUCUAUAUUCUUAAUUUCUAAAAAAAAUUCAAUAUGGGAUAUCUAUUUUAAAAUUAUCUUUUUGAUAGAUAUUUUAUAAAUUUUAAAAUGUUUUUUCAAUUAUUAUACAUCUCAAAUUAUUUCUAUACCAUUUUUUUAUUUGGUCUUAUCUAGUUUAAACAAUGAUAAGAUAAUUUCAUAUAUGAUUUUUUAAGUAUUAUUGUUUGUAACCUAAAUCCAUUUGUGUGUAUUAUUUUACCUUAAUUUCGUUUGUUUGCAUGUUCAACCUAUGACCUAAAUUUCAUUACAUAUAUUCAACCAUUUAGAAUUUUUGUUUGAUAUGUAAUGUUUUACCUUAAUAUGUUCUCAAAUUACAUAUAUUAUGGGGAUAUAUAUAGAUAGAUUAUGGUUUGUUCCAUUUCCGUCACUUCAUGAGUUUCCCCUAAUCCACUUACUCCACUCCCAAUAGUGAUAAACUAUAUCUUGAAAGUGAAGUUGGCUUCACUUAUCCCUGAAUAAAAGACCUAUCCUCAAGAGUCAAGAUACUCCAAUUUGAAUUUGAACUCAAACCUAAGGAUAGAUCUUCGACCACCACCAUCUAUUGUCUCCUAAUAGGGGAGAUAUUAUUAGCCUUUUUUUUUCUUUUUCUUUUUUUCUUUUACCCCACUUUAACCAAAAGAUAAGAUAAGCUUAUUACAAGAUUAUAGAAAGAACGUACUUGUCUUUAUUUAUGAUAUUUUUUUUAAAAUAAUUCAACUUUAUUAAAUCUAAGUUAGAUAUAAAUUCCAAUUAUUCUACUUUUGACCAAAUCAUAGCGGUGACCAACACUAACUAUUUAAAAAAUUAAAAUAAGUAAAAAAAAACACUUUUUUUAACUUUAAGGUGGUAGAGCUUCAAAACAAUGAACUAAAAAGAUAAAACUAAGUGCAAGUUAAAAUAGAGAAUAAGGAACUCAAACAUUUUAUAAGAUAUACUUGACAUAAGUGAAAAUAAUUUAAAAGAAAAAAUAGUUCUUGCUUUGUGUGAAACAAAGUACUAUUAUUUUUAUGUUUAUUUCAUGUUAUCCAUAAAACAAUACAAAUGAUUUCAAUAGUUUGAGUGUUCUCCAAUUUUUAAAAUUCAUUCUCACUAUUUCAAGCUAUAUUUACUAAAGUUAUAUGUUGGAUUUCUAAAAAUGAGGGAAUAUAUAAGUUAAUGGAUGAAGGUUUGAUUUUAACAAUAAGGAUUGUGUUAUGGUGCUCAUACAAUUCGAACCAAAAUACACGCAACAACUCUAGAAGUAAUGAUGUAAUGUUACUUAUGUUGGAUUUUAUGAAAAUAUCAAUAAAAAUACUUAUAUUCGUGUAAAGUUUAUGUGGUACCAAUCAUAUGAUAUCAUAUAAACAUUUUAUGUUUUAUUACUGGUUUCAUUCAUCUAUAUUUAUCUUAUCUAUUUAUGUUUUAACCCUAUAUAUUUAUAUUUUCAUUCAAUAUAAAUUUUAUCAUAUAGUUUCAAUAACAAAAACAAAUGUACAUUUAAUACCGAAACUGCUUCUAACAUUAAAGUAAAUAUGAUUUCACGAAUUUCAUAUUUUCUAUCAUCUUUACCAAAAUUGAAUAGGGUUGAUUACUUUUUUCCCAUUCCAUGAUUUGAUCGCGUGAAGAUGAUUCCACCACCAAUCAUUUACUAAAAUGUGACACCCAUUUUCUACACCAACUCAAGCACUCCACUUUUGUUAAUAGCUUUUAGCCGAUAUAAAAAAGUGAACAAAACCGCUUUCAUAUUUUACCUACCAGGGCUAAGAAAUAUAAAUAGAGAUAGAAAUAAUUACUAUUUGUUAAAUAUAUAUUUUAUGUUUUAAAUAUAUAUAUAUAUAUAUAUAUAUAUAUAUAUAUAUAUAUAUAUAUAUAUAUAUAUAUAUAUAUAUAUAUAUAUUCUUUUUAAAAAUAAAAAUAAUCAUGAUAUUAAUUUGUUAAAAUUUACUCUAACAUCAUCUAAUACAAAUAAAUCAUGUACGAAAAUGCAAGAAUUAUGAUCAAGAGUUUCAUCCAACCAAUUAUAAAAAUUAUGUUUUACCUUUAAAAUUGGUUUUUAACACAAAGCUCUUCUAAUUCAGAACUUUAUUCUUUUACUCUUAUUUUUAUCAUUUAAAUAUAUGAUUAAUCAUGAUUAGAUAUUAAAAAAACAACUUUCAUAUUUAAUAUAUUCCCUUAUCAUCGAUUAAGUUUGAUUUUUUUUUUUUUUUGUUGUGUGUAUAUCUUUAUACUUUUUCUUCUUACAAAUUUUUUUUCACAUUUUAAUAUUUUUAUCAUUUACCAAAGCUUCAUUUAAAAUUUUCGUGUUUUUGAUAAUUUUUUAUUUGUAUAAAAAUUUACAUGAAUAUAAAUAUUUUUAUUGAUAUUUUGAUAAAAUCCAACAGCAGGGACAUUUCAUCAUUGCUUCUUGAGGUGGUGCGUGUAUAGUGCAUAUAGCAUGGGAAUAAGGAUAAGUCUCCUUUUUUACUAUUCAAUUCAAUGCCCUUUCACAUUCAUUUAUUAAUUGUUUGGACUUGUGAAAGCAACCUUCCCCCGUUUUCUUGACGCAACCUGCUACUUCCACGUGAGCAUGCCAAACACGCUUAGGGCCUGUUUGUUGAUGUUUUCAAAUACAUUUUUGGAAACAGUUUUUAGUGUUUUCAGAAAUAAAAUUAUGUUUGUUUAUUCUCAAAAAUAAAAAGAAUUAAAAAAAAACAUAUUUAUUUCAAUUAAUAAAAAUAAUUUUUAAUAACAAAUAAAACAAAAAAACUUGUUUGGAAAAUAUUAUUGUUGGUUUUGUUUUUUAAAGUUGAGUAUUUUAUUUAACUAAUUGAUAUUGUAAAUAUAUAAAUAAUUUUUCUUCAUAAAAAUAAAAAUGUUUCAUUUUGAACAUUUUUUGCAUUGGUUUUAAUUUUUUAAAACAAAUUAUUACUUUGUAAACAUGUCUAAAUAUGUUUGAUUUUAAUAAUUGAUAAACACCAUCUUAUCAAAAUAUCAUAAAUCGGUAAAUAUCAAUAAUUGGAUUUUAUGAAAUAAAAUUUAUGAUAUCAAAUAAUAAUGCAUUAUACUUGGAAACUGAUGAUCUAUCUUUUUUACUAAUAAUAUAUUUAUGAUAAUUUUUAUUUAAAAAUAUUUAUAAUUAUAUUUUAUAUUUAAGAAUUAUAUAAAAGAUAAAAAAAAUUAAAGUAAAUCAAACUAAUUUAUUUAUGAAAAUUUAUUAAUUUUUACUAUUUUACAUAUUAUAUAUAUAUAUAAGACAAGAAUCCUUGUUCUCUUUUCUCUCUUCUCCUCAUGGUUUCUCUUCCAAGACCCAAACUUUUAUUCACGGUUGAACUAUUUUUCUCCUCAAAGAACAACUCAUGAAAGUCAAAAUCUAGAUCUAUGAUUGUUGUAAAGAUUAUUGGUUAGGAUUUUGCCUCUUGUGUUAUUGUUUAUGUUUUUGUUUGGUUUUUGGGAAAUCCUAGAAUUUAUGGAAGUUUAGGCUUUGAAAUGCAUUAAAAAAAUCAUAUUAGGAUAAAAUCCCAAAAUAUCCAAAAAAUAUUGAAAUGGAAAUAAAAAAAAUAAAAAUAAAAAAAUUGAAUUUUUGUUAAACCGAAUUUUCAAUUUUCUAAUUUUUCCCAUUUUCCUUGGCAGUGUAAAAAAAAAAAUGAUAAGAACACCCAAGAAUACUAAUUGAAAACACAGACAUUUUUUUUUUUUUUUACUUCUUAGAAUAGUGGCAACAACACAAAAAAAAAAUCAUUUUAAAACCAGAUUUUAGAAAACACAUAAAACACUUGAGAACAAAAAAACACUCUCUUAUCAAACAUGAUUUUUGUGUUUUUGUUCUAAAAAUGGAAAACAGUUUUUGGAAACACCAACCAAACAAGUCCUUAAUGACUCAUUUUUCUUUUCUUUUUUUUGCUUAUUUGUGUAUUCUGUUUUCUAUUUUUAUUUUUAAAGAAAAUAAAAAUCAAGUUUAAAAACAUGUUUAGAUAUUAUUCUUAAUUUUUAUUUUUGAAAAAUUGAGUUCAAAAAAGGUCAAAAAUGAAAAUAAUAAUUUGGUGCUUUUAAAAAAAUUUUAUGGCGAUGUUUUUCAAUCUAACAUAAAAAUAGAAAAAUUAUCUUUAGAAUUAAUUAUAAAAUUAUAAUAAAAAAUUUUGUAUAUUAUUUUAAAAUAAAAAUAUAAUCAAAUACAAAAUAAUAAAAUAAAACAAGGAACAAAUAUGAUAUAAUAUCAUAUAGUAGCAUAUAAUAUAUAAUAUAUAAUAUCAAUAAAUAACAACUAAUAAAAUUAUUAUAUAUGUUAUAUUUUAUGCUUGCUAAAUCAAUUUAAUGUUUUAAAGUGACUUCAUAACUUGAUUUAAAUUAUUAAAUAAAUUAAAAUUUUGAUAAAAUAACUUAAUAUCAUAAUUUAAAAUUAAAAUAAUUUUAAGUGUUAAGUCAAAAUAAUUAAUUUAUUUUUAAUGUCAAAUCAUUUUUAUUAGAUAUUUACUUUGUUCAGUAAAAUUGAGUUAAUCUUUUGAAAUUAUCAAAUUUACAUUUUUAUUUUUCUUAAUUUAAAGCAAUAAAUUUAUUUGUUACACGAUUUGUAUUAAUCGUAUUCCAAAUAUAUAAAAUAAUUACAAUAAUUACUAAAUAUUUAGCUCAAAGAAAAUGUGUCGUGAAUAUAAAAUCAUGCAUAUUAUAUAAAUUACUAUUACAUGUGUGAGUAAAUAAGAUAGAAAUGAUUUAACAUUCAAAAUAAAUUUAUUAUUUUAAUUUAAUAUUUAAGAAUUAGUUUUAAUAUUAAAUAUAUUUAAUUUAUUUAAUAACUCAAAUUAAGUUAUUAUUAAUUAUUUAAUAUAUAAGAAUAAAAAGAUAUAAAAUAAAAGCAAGGAAAUAUAAAAUAUUUCAAAAUUAUUAAUUAUUUUUUCAUGAGUGGAUAUAAAAAUAACUAGGGGAGUAUGAUUUUAAUUUUAUAUUCUUAUACUGCUGCUGGAAUAAUAUGUUUGCAUUAUUUUUCGAAGGUGAAAAUAUAAAAUUACAAACAUUCAAAUAACAUAUAGAGAUUGUUUUGUUACCAUUUUAAUAGGAAUAACUAUAAAUGCAUAAGAGCAAUUCUCAUUGGAUAUAGUUUCUAUAUACUUCAUUAAAACACGGAAAAUAAUUUAAAUUUAUUCUAAAAAAGUAGUUCAAUUUUGAAAAACAAGCCCUCAAAACCUUGUUUCCAGCACAAAACUUGCCAAUGAGUCACGUGGUAUAAACUUCCUUUGAUUGAACUUUUGAAGAAAAAAAUCACGCAGUGUUUUGUUUUUGAAAAGUGUAAAGAAAAAUAUAUUUGUUUUUAUAUCUACAUAUUAACAAAAAGGAAACUUUCAAUCCAUGUUAUAAAUAAUAAAAUAUGAAUUAAACAUUUUUGCUCUUCUUUCUUUCCUCAUGAGCACACCAUAGUAGUCUAUCUGGUUCUUAGAAAAUAUUAAGAAUAGAAAAAAAAAAUAUUAAGAAAUAAUUUUUUUUUAUAUUUUAUUAACAUGAAAAAUAUUAAAAUCAAAUCAAUGUAAUUAAAAAUAGUUUAAAUUUUAUGCAUUUUAAAUUAUUUUAUCUUUAUAUAAGAGAAAAAUAAAUAAAUGGGUUUAAAGAAACAUAUAAAUAUAAUUUAUUAAUAAUAUUAAUUUUUUUUUUCAUUUUCCUUCAUCUAAAAAACUGAAGAUUUUUUUAAAAAAUAAAAAAAUUACUACCUAAAUUGACUUGCCUUUUAAGUAAUAAUUAUUAGGAAUAUAAAAUAGUAUUAAUAGGAUAAAAUAAAGCGUCAUGUAAGCUAAUAUUUUGUAUUUUAUAAUUACAUAGAGUAAUCAUAAAGUCACAUAUGACAAAACCAAAUAAAUAAAUAAAUGAGAGCUUGCAUCACCAACUGGGUUAUUAAAGUAAUUAAGCCAAGAAAAUUCUUAUGCAGAGUCUGAUGAUUCAACAAGCUACCUUCCAGACAAUGGUGAUGACUUUGAAGGAAUCCUUCCUCCAAUAAGAAGAUCUAAGUAAUCAUCAGCCUUUUGUCUUCCAUCAAGAAUAUUUUACAAGCUUUGCAGUUUCUGUUCCAAAAGCAGCAAGCAUGUGUCUACACAGCAGCCUGCCAGAAGUCUUCUCAGCCAAAAGAGGGUUUUUCGGGGGAUUUCGGUAUAAAAGUGAAUCUUACUAUUCACUAUUCACUAUUCAAGCACGGGUCUACUAUUCAUGGUUACUAUUCAAGUUUCCUUUUUUGCCUAUUUAAGGAGGCUCGAGCCUCAUUUGUAAGCACGUUCAAUUUAGGCUCCCAUGCUCUCCAUUCUCUCUUCUUUCUCUCUCAUCAUGUAAACUCUUCAAGCUUUCAAGCUUUCUUCAAGCUUUCCUACCCCUGUCUAUUGUAAGAUAUUUCUCCUUGUGUAUAAUAUAAGUAUGUUUUGAUUACCUCCUAUAUGGAUGGUUUUUAAUUAUGUUUUGUUUUUCAUUUUAUUUUAUGUUCUUGUACUGCCUAUAUGGUCGGUUUUAAUUAAGCUUUGUUUUUAAGUUUAUGUCUUUUAUUUUGUACCGCCUACAUGGUCGGUUUUAAGCUUAUUAUGAACUAACAAGUUUUUGGUUCCUUCUCUUUAAAUUUCUUUAUUGGAUAUCUUUUGUAUUUUCUAACCCUCUUCUUUGUUUUGAAUCAUGGCAUAAUUCCGAUUUUCUGGAAAUCUUGAGGGGUCUUAGCUGCUGCAAGCAUGGCUUGUAACUGUUGCUUUUUAAGGAGAAACUGAGACAUAUCAUCACUGGCUGAGACUUGUGUGGGAUUUUGGAGGAAAUACUGCUUAACUGUAUCAAUAGAUGCGUCAUUUUUUAAGGCAUCCCACCAUUUAGUUUUAAAGGUCCUUCCAAGAGAUGGAAAGGCUGCUGAUUCAUCUGUAAUGAUAAUAUAGUCCCACUGGACUAUCCAAGCAAGGCCAAAUUUGCUGAAGAAGAAUAGUAAAGGGGGAAAAGCUGAAAGUUCUCUAGGGAUAUCAUUAUCUGAAUCAGUCCUUGAUUCAGAGUCUGAGUUUAACAUUACCUUACAAAGCAUAUUUUUUAGGUCAUCUGAGACACUUAAGUUGUUAAUCUUUUGCUUAACUCUACAAUUUUUUUUAUAAUGGCCAACUUUGCCACAUUUAAAACAGAUAAUUGGCUUGAUGUCUAAAGGAGUUUCUUACUUUUUCUGGGUAUCUCUGUUGACCCUUCUUUGGACGUGCCUUGACUGCUUAGUAUCAUUCAUCCUAUAGUUGUCAUAGGUACCUCUCUUACUGUGGUAAAACUUAUCUUUGCUAGGCUUCCUGCUUGGCUUUUGCUUAGAGGGAGGCAUAGUUUCUUUUUGGCUGAAACCAAACUGGCUAUAGAAUGAUCCAAAUUCAUUCUUGUAGAUUUUUUGUUCAUUCUUCAUUUGUUGCUUAAGCUUGAAGUCAUUGCACAACUUAAUCCCUUUAGCUGUGACAAUGCUUAUAAUCUCACCAUAGGUUAGCUUAUCAUAAGGGAUUUGACCAUUAUACUGUUCCCUUAUCUUGAUCCUAAUUCUCUCAGAGAAAAGCUUGGGUAAUCCUGAGAUGAACUUUUCUUUCCAAAAAGACUGGUUACAAUCUGAUCUUAGCAUGACUUUGGUUAGGAAGACUUCCUUAUACCACCUAAAAUCAUGAAGCUUGGGACACUUAAGGUUGGUUAAGAGAUCUGCAGUUUUAUCCUUAAUUUUUGCAGGAUCUCCAAUGAAGUGCUUGGAUAUUGAGUAGAUUAGAGUAGCCACUGCAUCCUCAAUAUCUUGGCCAUCUUCGUCUUUAACCACUUCAUUACUCUCAUUAAUCCUAUAGGCUUUAAGGAUACUAUUUCUAUCAUCAAAAGUGAGAUAAUUAUCCCACCAACCCUUAAGCUGUCCUAUAAACCCAGCAACAAUGGUCUGAGCUACAGCAUGAUCUGGCAGUCUAUUGUUUAAUUUAUAGGUUGUACUAACCAUGGUCAUUUCUUGAAGCUUAGUGAGUAUGUUAUACUCGGUCAUACCGUCUAUGUUCCAUUCAUAGAUAGUACCACUGGUGUAUGAGGCUUGAGUAUACUGAUUUCUUUCCUCAAACUGCAUGUCAGGAAAAGUAGGCCUAGGAUAGUAAUUCCUAGUCUUAAAGGUUUCCAAGUUGUUAAUAAUUUGAUUAUGGGGUUCCUCAAACAUCUUAAUUAGUUCAUCAGCUUCUUCUUCUGAACUAAUAUCACCUUUAACCAUAUUGAUUCUCUUAUCAGGCUGAACAGUCAAAGGGGCAACAAGAUUAUCCUUAAUCUUUUGAUUAAUCCUAUCAACAAAAGCCUGGUUGAUUUGGGGAUUUUCUUGGAAUUCCUUAGAAAAUUCAAAGGACUCAGUGCUCUUCGUAUUAUUAACACGCUUAUAAGGAUAAUCUGGAUAUUCCUCUUGUUUGAAGAGUUCAAACCAAAUCCAAAACUUAAUAUUUUUCUUUUCUUGUCUUAAGUAGGCAUAGAAUUCUUCUUGGUAAAUGGUUCUAAUGACCUUAGGGACCGUGCUAAAGAACCAAUCAUUUCUUUGCUUAUUGACUUCAGAAUAGAAGUCUUUUCUUAAGAGAUCCUUGUUGAUCUCAAAGUCCUCAUCACUUAGGCUUAUUGUGUUAAUCAUCUGGGAAUAGGUAGGAGACAUAACAGGGGACUCAUCCUGUUGGGAUUCUUGAGUAGACUCAUUUUCCUCAGAGUAAAAUGGUCUAGCCACGUUGGUGUAACUUCUGACACCUGUUAGCUUAAUGUUCUUAGGAUUUCCUGAGCUGGAUCCUUCUUCUUCCCUAGUGGUUCUAACUGGGAUGGAAGAGCUUGAAGCUCUAGAGGGUUCAUAAACAGAAACUCUAGGGCUGUUAGAAUGUUUGAAAGAUUUGGAGAAAACGAGUUCUCCUCCUCCAUCUGGAUAUUGAACAAUUUGUUCAAUACUUUCAGAACGUUGUGCAAUGGCUGGAACAUCAUUAGCAAAAUGUCAAUUUUCAGGAAAAUCAACAUCUUUCCACAAGAUCUUCUUGGGGAUGAUGAAAUCUGACUUAUCUAACAUAUCUGAGUGAAAGUAAGUGGUCUCACCUUUAGGACUGGUGCAAAGAGCCCCAGAUCCAACGCUUGUGUUCAUGCUCUUAUAGGCAAACCUGGUUAUGAUUGAAACAGGACUGUUUCCUGGUUUGAUCUUAAAGCCAUGGGUCUUAAUAUGCAGGACAACGGAAUCUAAGAUGUUUGCAUCUCUUAUUCUAACUGUGAAGUUAGGAUAGCACUGGAAAUAAACUGGGUCAUCAUUCAGUCCAGCUUGGACUGCGCCUAUAAUAGAAUCUCGAUAUUCGAGAUGCCUAUUAUCCCUUAAACACAUGACAAUAGAGGUGUUUAAACCUAAUCUUGUCAAAGGCUUAGCUGCUACUUGAAUCAUACCAAAGUGUAUGAAAUUAUAGUCAUCUUUCUUAUGCUUUUCAACGGAUCUGUUAUCUAGAAGUCUUAUGACUUGGUCGUCUUGUUCUAAACUGACUGACAUUUCAGAGGUCUUGAUGGUAUAACUAUAAAUGCAUAAGAGCAAUUGGAUAUAGUUUCUAUAUACUUCAUUAAAACACUGAAAAUAAUUUAAAAUUUAUUCUAAAAAAGUAGUUCAAUUUUGAAAAACAAGCCCUCAAAACCUUGUUUCCAGCACAAAAUUUGUCAAUGAGUCACGUGGUAUAAACUUGCUUUGAUUGAACUUUUGAAGAAAAAAAUCACGCAGUGUUUUGUUUUUGAAAAGUGUAAAGAAAAAUAUAUUUGUUUUUAUAUCUACAUAUUAACAAAAAGGAAACUUUCAAUCCAUGUUAUAAAUAAUAAAAUAUGAAUUAAACAUUUUUGCUCUUCUUUCUUUCCUCAUGAGCACACCAUAGUAGUCUAUCUAGUUCCUAGAAAAUAUUAAGAAUAGAAAAAAAAUAUUAAAAAAAUAAUUUUUUUGAUAUUUUAUUUAACAUGAAAAAUAUUAAAAUCAAACCAAUAUAAUUAAAAAUAGUUUAAAUUUUAUGUAUUUUAAAUUAUUUUAUCUUUAUAUAAUAGAAAAAUAAAUAAAUGGGUUUAAAGAAACAUAUAAAUAUAAUUUAUUAAUAAUAUUAAUUUUUUUUCCUUCAUCUAAAAAAAAUGAAGAUUUUUUUUUAAAAAGAAAAGAAAUUAUUAUCUAAAUUGACUUGCAUUUUAAGUAAUAAUUAUUAGGAAUAUAAAAUAGUAUUGAUAGGAUAAAAUAGAGUGUCAUGUAAGCUAAUAAUUUUGUAUUUUAUAAUUACAUAAAGUCACAUAUGACAAAACCAAAUAAAUAAAUAAAUGAGAGCUUGCAUCACCAACCGGGUUAUUAAAGUAAUUAAGCCAUUUGACAUCAUAUAUGAACCCAUAUGAGAUUUUUUUUUUUUUUUGAAAAAAAAGAAAGGAAAAAGAAAUUCCUCUUGAAAGGGGGUGUUUUUUAAAAAAAAAAUUUAAAAAUAAGCUUUUUAAAACAAGACUAUUUGGCAAGAAGUUUUAAAAAAGAAAACAAAAAGUUUGUUUGGAUGAAAGAAUUUAUAUUGUUUUUAUGUUUUACUUUUAUUUUAUAAAAAAUUUACAAAUUCAAUUUAUAAUAAUAUGAAAUCAAAUUUAAGUCUUAUUAAAAAAAAAUUAAAUCUACAAUUAUGUAUAACUUAGAUAAACAUUUUUUAAGUUGUUUUGUUGAAUAAGUUAAUAUAUGAAUGAUAUAAUUUAUCAUAUUUAAUAAUAAUAUUAAAUGCAUCCAUAACAAAUAUGAAUUUUAUAAGUAUGCAUUCAUUAUUAAAAUAUAUCAAAUAUAUAUCAUAGUCCAAUAUAUUUAUAAAUAGGCCAGCUUGCUUAAGUGGUGUGCAAGGUUUAUUACAAAUCCGUGUGAGUAGCGGUAGCACAAAACACCGAGUUCAUUGGUCAUGGACUCGGGGCUCCUUCGUAAUUAAUUCCAACAAGCAAGUCAGUUUGUAAAAUUCAGUAGAAUAAAUUCUGUCAGCGCCCCAGAUUUUGAAAUUGAACCGUUGGUUUCCACCACAUUCCCAGCAUUCUUCCUCCCAACUCUUUCCCGACCAUCUUCCUACCUCCUCACAGAGAAGCCGGUGACGAACUCAACGUCACAAAAUGCCGAAACUACCCUUUUUAUUUGCCACAAUUCCAUUUCCAGGCCAUCUUCCUCCCUCCUCACAGAGAAGCCGGUAACGAACUCAACGUCACAAAAUGCUGAAACUACCCUUAUUAUUUGCCACAACUCCAUUCCCCACCCUGUUCUUCCUCCUCGUCCUCUCCAUAUUUCAGGUAAUUUCCCAAAAUUUGGACGAUGAACGAUCAAUCCUACUAGACGUUAAACAACAACUGGGCAAUCCACCGUCACUCCAAUCGUGGAAUUCCUCAUCCUCGCCCUGUGAUUGGCGGGAAAUUACAUGCACCGACAAUACCGUCACUGCAAUUUCACUCCACAAUAAGACCAUCAGAGAGAAAAUUCCAGCCACAAUUUGUGACCUCAAGAACCUCAUCGUACUUGACCUUUCCAACAAUUACAUUCCCGGCGAGUUCUCGGAUAUUCUCAAUUGUUCCAAGCUUGAGUAUCUGCUCUUGUUGCAAAACUCCUUCGUGGGUCCAAUUCCAGCUGAUAUUGAUCGACUUUCACGUCUCCGGUACCUAGACCUCACAACAAACAACUUCUCUGGAGAUAUUCCCGCAGCAAUUGGGAGGCUACGGGAGCUGUUCUACUUGCUUCUGGUUCAAAAUGAGUUCAACGGCACCUGGCCAACGGAGAUUGGUAAUUUGGCGAAUCUUGAACAAUUGGCCAUGGCCUAUAAUGACAAAUUCCGGCCUUCAGCCCUUCCAAAAGAGUUUGGCGCAUUGAAGAAGUUGAAAUAUCUGUGGAUGACGCAGGCGAAUUUGAUUGGCGAAAUACCGGAGAGCUUCAACCAUCUGUCGAGUCUGGAACACUUGGAUCUCUCACUCAACAAAUUAGAAGGUACGAUCCCUGGAGUCAUGCUUACGUUGAAGAAUUUGACCAAUUUGUAUUUAUUCAAUAAUAGAUUGUCCGGCCGCAUUCCUUCAUCCAUAGAAGCUCUCAACUUGAAAGAAAUUGAUCUUUCCAAGAACCAUUUGACGGGGUCGAUACCAGCGGGUUUCGGGAAGCUACAAAAUUUGACCGGUCUGAAUCUUUUCUAGAAUCAGUUGUCAGGAGAGAUACCAGUAAAUAUAAGCCUCAUUCCUACACUGGAAACUUUCAAAGUUUUUAGCAAUCAAUUGAGUGGAGUUUUGCCUCCAGCAUUUGGCCUUCAUUCGGAGCUCAAACGCUUUGAGGUUUCCAAGAAUAAACUAAGCGGGGAAUUACCUCAACAUUUAUGCGCUAGGGGGGCUUUGCUUGGAGUGGUUGCUUCCAACAACAAUCUCAGCGGGGAAGUGCCCAAGUCCCUCGGGAAUUGCACAAGUUUGCUCACCAUUCAGCUUUCCAACAAUCGCUUUUCAGGUGAGAUUCCUUCCGACAUCUGGACAUCCCCGGACAUGAUAUGGGUGAUGUUAGCUGGAAAUUCAUUCUCGGGGACACUUCCAAGUAAAUUGGCAAGGAAUUUGUCCAGAGUGGAGAUCAGUAACAACAAGUUUUCUGGUCCAAUUCCUGCUGAAAUCUCUUCUUGGAUGAACAUAGCUGUGCUCAAUGCCCGCAACAAUAUGUUGUCAGGAAAAAUUCCAGUGGAAUUGACCAGUCUUCGGAACAUCUCUGUUAUGUUGCUUGAUGGGAAUCAAUUCUCGGGUGAGCUUCCAUCCGAGAUCAUCUCAUGGAAGUCGCUCAAUAAUUUGAAUCUCUCAAGAAACAAACUUUCUGGCCCAAUUCCCAAGGCAUUAGGUUCUUUACCUAACCUUAAUUACCUUGACCUGUCAGAAAACCAGUUCUCAGGUCAAAUUCCUCCUGAACUUGGUCAUUUGACGCUUAAUAUCCUCGAUCUAUCGUUCAACCAACUCUCUGGGAUGGUCCCCAUUGAGUUUCAAUAUGGAGGAUAUGAACACAGUUUCUUGAACGAUCCCAAGCUGUGUGUCAAUGUUGGCACUCUGAAACUCCCUAGAUGUGAUGCCAAAGUCGUUGACUCCGACAAAUUGUCAACCAAAUAUCUCAUUAUGAUCCUAAUUUUUGUUGUAUCUGGUUUCCUAGCUGUUGUUUUGUUCACCCUGCUCAUGGUUCAAGAUGAUAAUAGGAAGAAUCACAGUCGAGACCAUACACCUUGGAAGGUUACCCAAUUCCAAACACUAUAUUUCAAUGAACAGUACAUAUUGACCAGUUUGACAGAAAAUAAUUUGAUCGGACGCAGUGGUCAGGGGAAAUAUACCGAAUUGCUAAUAACUGUUCUGGUGAACUCCUAGCGGUUAAAAAGAUUUGUAAUAACAGGAGAUUGGAUCACAAGCUUCAGAAACAAUUCAUAGCAGAAGUCGAGAUAUUGGGCACCAUACGCCAUUCCAAUAUAGUGAAGUUGUUGUGCUGCAUAUCGAAUGAAAGCUCAAGCCUUCUUGUUUAUGAGUACAUGGAGAAGCAGAGUUUGGAUAGAUGGCUUCAUGGGAAGAAGCAGAGAACAACGUCCAUGACAAGUUCAGUCCAUAACUUUGUCUUGGAUUGGCCAACAAGGUUGCAGAUUGCUAUCGGAGCUGCAAAAGGCCUAUGCCACAUGCAUGAAAACUGCUCUGCCCCGAUCAUACAUCGAGAUGUGAAGUCCAGCAACAUCUUGCUAGAUGCCGAGUUCAAAGCAAAAAUUGCGGAUUUUGGAUUGGCCAAGAUGUUGGUCAAGCAAGGAGAGCCCGACACCAUGUCAGGAAUUGCAGGCUCUUACGGAUAUAUUGCCCCUGGUAAGACCAUCAAGGCCCUCCUUUCCACAUGUUUUCAUUUCCAUAAUUUAUCAAUAAUUUUUAUCAUACAAUUCUUGUAUACUUGGAUGAUAGAGUAUGCUUAUACAACAAAGGUGAACGAAAAGAUCGAUGUAUAUAGCUUUGGAGUAGUCCUGCUUGAGCUAGUGACGGGGAGAGAACCCAACAACGGGGACGAGCUCAUGUGCCUUGUAGAAUGGGCAUGGGAUCAGUUCAGAGAAGGGAAAACCAUUGAGGAAGUGAUGGAUGAGGAUAUCAAGGAACAAUGUGAAAGAGCACAAGUGACCACUCUCUUCAGUCUAGGCCUCAUGUGCACCACCAGAUCACCAGCCACUAGGCCCACAAUGAAGGAAGUUUUGGAAAUUCUUCGACAAUGCAGUCCUCAGGAGGGCCAUGGAAGAAAGAAAAAGGACCAUGAAGUUGCACCCUUACUUCAAAAUGGCACUUGCCCCGCUACUUACAAGCAUAACGAGAAGGGAUCAGACAAUGAGGAUGACGAUAAAUUAGUUUGAAAUUUACAGCUUGUAAAUAAGUGUAAGAAAGCUUGUAAAUUAAAGGUGGUAGUGAUCUUAGGAAGUGUGUUUAGCCUUUUUAUAAUACUUGAAAAAUAAAAAUUUGCAAGUGUUAAAAGGUUAAAAACACUGUUGGAGGUACCUAACAUCUGCAUAUCUUUAAUACACCACCUCCCAAAUGAGGUAAUUGGAAACGCACAAAAUCACCUCAUCCCAAAACUAGGACCAUAAAAGAAGACGACCUCUCGGUCCUGCGGGAUGACCUGACUAAUUGACCUAUGCCUAGAAAAACGAAUCCAACUACCCGUCUCCUCAUGUGCCCAAAAGUCAACCAUGCCUCUGAUAUGCUGCAAAAAACCAAUACUUCAUGAUCCUUCACAAGGAAAAGUGGCUAUAAAAGGGGAGCCUUUUCCUCCUCUAAUGACUCUCUCUCUCAGCCUCUAAAAGAAAGCUGUAGAAAAUGUAGAAAAUGCAUUUCUAUACCCGGAAAAUAGUGGAAUGAAAUCUCCAAUAUUUUCCUUGAAGAAUUUUGGAUUCUUCAUUGGCAUAAUGGAGGACCGAGAGUGAAGUUUAAUCAGUCCAAAGGGAUUUGGAUGUCAAUUCUAUCUUUGUUCAACAUCCAAUAUCUUCCACUAUAAGCAAAAACAACAGCAAAAACAUCAACAACAAAAUUUUCUAGGGGAGUUUUCCUUUAGUUUUUUCUUCUCCUUUUAUAAAUCUUCCUUUAAUCACUUUUGUUUUGCGUAAUAUUCAAGAAAAUGUCAACUUUGUAGCUUUAGGAAAAUGAGCAACUAACCUCUCGAUUAUCUCUUUGUUUUGGGUUUUUCUAGUACCACUUGUGAUUGGUUGUUCCUUAGAAUUGAAAACAAGAAAAUAUGGAUCGAAAUAGCAGCUCACAAGCCUUUGUUUCAUGCUAAGCAAUUCUUGAAUAUUAUGGAGUUCUAGGGAAACAUGUCCACUUGCAAUCUGCAGCUUCAGGUUUUAUGAUUUAGGCCUCAAGCACCAUGGUUUAGCCAUCUCAAUCAGUUGUUGAAGGGGACAAUGUCUAACCAAUUUCAAAGGGUACAACCUCACAAAUCCUCGAUCUCAAUAUCGCCUCAGGUAAAUAGAUAAACCUAGAAACCUAACCUAACAAAGGUACCUAUUCUUUAACCAAAUAGUUGAUCAAAAGCUACAAAUCUUUGAAGAAUGCAAUAUCCAAAAGCUAAAAAACUUUGCAGAAGUGUUUGUACUAUAUAAUCUCCACCUUGACUAUCCAGACAAUCUCCACCUCGACUAUCCAGGUGAUCUCCACCUUGAUUAUCCAGACAAUUUUCAUCUCGGGCAGUCGGAGGUACCUCAUUCUCAAAUACCAACAAAGUAACCCAAUUUGUACUUGUCAACCAAUACACAUAUCCUCACAAUUGAUUGUUUAACCCUUAUCAAAUCAACCACCCAAGAUAUGUUGGGCCUUGUUCAACUGGCUCAAGAGUUUGCCCAACCUCCCACCUGCUCAGCAUGCAUAUGUUAGAAAUGUCUAACUCCUUCUUUCAGAUAAAAUUGGUUGACAGUUUUAUGCUUGGUUGAAGCCACUCAUAUAGAAUUUGGGAGCCAUAACAAUUACCAACAAUGUAUGAAGGAGGCAAACUUUGAGGCACCUCAAAUAUUCAAGAGUUAGAUACAACUUAAGAGGUUAUUUAUCUUACCUAACCUCAACAGGAAGUCAUCAAAAAGCACAAGUACAAUCUUGAUGUCAACUCACAUACAUAUCAGCCAAAUGGAAGAAAGUCUUGUCACCUAAGCAAGCGAUCAACUAAAGUUCAGAUAAGUCUUCUCUAACAUAUUUAUCUUAUAAUCUUUGGUUAAUUUCAUUUGUUUCAUUUUACAAGGACUAAUUGUGAAAAACAAACACCUUUCAAGUUAGGAAAACCUUCCAACUAAAAAUCUAAGGUUGAAUUAGUCUCAAAACAAAAACUCUUAUUAAUAGUCUAGCUAAAAACAAACGGUCAAGGUGAGUGACCAAACAAAAAACCUCGACCUAAAACCCACUUCUGGCAUUAGUCCUCUCAAUUCUAGAUGUACUUUGUUGAACCAUCCCUGUGGUCAUACAUGGAAAUUACCUUGAUGCAAAACUGACCUCUCACUCUUCUAGAGAUGGAUCACCUGUGUGCUUUGUGGACCUUCAAGUAAAGGUCGCACUUGUACACAAGCUCUAUCUCUAGGUAUGAGUUAACUUUAUGCCAAACCAACCUCCCUCUAUGAGCAUGUGUUAUCCUUGUGCCAAAACCUAAGUGGUCAAUUCCAACAAUUCCAGUGUAUAAAAGAACUUAACCUGAAUAUUUUUCUACUAUCCACUCUAAAAGCAUUACAUGCAAACUAAAUGAUUGAACUUGCCUAUUGACUUGUGGCAUAAGAAUUAUUUCAGGGCAAAACAAGUUACGAAAUAAGUCCACCUCAUGAUUAGAUCACUUAAACAACAGAUCGAGAAACUCAAGCUAGCAAAUAAUGAUAACCUCUUAAUCAAGAGUAACAAGUUGGGGAACCUAGCUAGAAAGGUUGGCCCUAGCAGAAAGGCAUCCAAGACCCUUACCUCACAUAAGGGGAAGUGGGUGGGAAGAAAAAAACUAGGUCUCGAAUAAUGAAGUAUGACAUCAGAAUUUACAACAAACAACUUGGGAUUUGUGUGUUAUCUAUCUAUGUUACUUCCAAUUUGUGAUUGGAUACAAUAUGAAGGAAUCUCGAAAAAUAGCAUCACAAGACACAACCUUAUUAUUAGUUGGCCCCAAACUGAAAAUCAUUCAAAUGUGAAAGCUUUGAGUUGAACAAUGUUGGGACGUAAAUGCAAAAAAUUAUCUACGGAGGUUCAUUAGUUAAAAUUGCAAGUCAACUCAGCCUAAGAGGCAUCAAAGCAGUAGAACUGAGAAUGUGCAUCACCUACAACUUCCUAUUUAUUUCAAAAAAAACUACAUAUCCGUUAUGUGGCCUUAAAGUUCAACCUGCAUAAGAAACCCAAUCGAGCAUCUUUACCAUUGUUAGCAACUCAUGAUACUAGCUAACAAUUGUGAAUGACUACUCUUCUGAGUUUUCCCUAUUAACUUACAACGACCUACUAUCAUAUGGUUCUACUAAUUGUCUGGAUAGUCAAUACAUAGCUCCGCUAACUCUAUGAACUAUUCCUAAAAUAUUACAGCAACAACCCCCAACCAAGGAAAAAUGCAAACUACCUCGUUAAUGUAAGGUAAACACCUAAGGAAUCCUUGAUAAAAUUUGUUUAGUUAUUCAUAUCAGAAAUAGUGCAAGUAGAAAGCAAUGAUCAAAGAACUAUGACAAAGGCCUUUAGAAAAGCCUUGUCUACAAGAAGUCCACUACUUGGGUCAUUAGUAAGGGAUAACCUUCCCCACAUACCAGAUCAAGCUAGAUGAACAACUUGAAUUAAACCUUACAGAAAAAGCUACGAUAUCACAAUUCGCACAAUCAACACCUACCUACUUGACAAGGCUGAGGGAAAAAAUCAAGUGGCAAUCAAAUCAAUGUUAGUCACAACACAACUAGAAGAAAAGUUGGUUUGAUAUAGGAAGUUCAACCAAUAUAUUCUUUGACAACUUCUUUCAGCAAAUGAAUAAGUCAUGACUUUGACUCGAAUUGUAAGCUCUUAUGGAAAAUCUUCCAAUGCCUAGAUUAACUUGACCUUGGAGCAAAAGUAGAACUAAAGUCUCUUUCCUGAUGAAAAAGUCUCAGUCUCCUUACAACAUCAUUCUCAAGCAACAUUUUGUGGAUGCAGUAUCUCCAUCUUACAAUAAGAUGCUUGAGUUGGGAAAGAGAUCUAACAAUGAUAUUAUGCUUAAAUUCCAAAUCCAUCUCAACCUGAGAUAGCUCCGCAAAAAGGUUAACCAAACAGGAUGACAUACUCAUCCCCUAAUCUGGUUCAAAUGAGAAGAGUGCAUCAAAAACAACAAAGUAUCACCAAAAAAAUAACACAAAAUGAGGAACGAGUGGUAACUACAUUGACCUUAAUAAAGUUUGUCCUAAAAUUAGUUCUCCCCCGCCAAAGAUGGGCCAACUUUUGGACUCAAUAUCAUAACAUGAGGAAAAAAAGGUUCAAGAACCCUCAACCAUCUUGUGAGCUUACUCAACUAAAAGCAAAGGAGCAUUAAUCGUAAUGUUGAUCCAUCAAGAAUGAUAAACAAAAACUACAACCAAAAGGUAGAGACUCUUACAGGUGCUAAAACAGGUAUUCAAAAUAACCUCAUAAAAGGUGUGUUUGUGACCCCAACUUGAUGGUAGCAAAGUGCCCAAACCAUGAAACCAAGCACACCUAAAAAGGUACUAUGUCUAAACUAUAUAGCUAGUUUUAACAAUUUUGGAAUGUUUUAAUUACCUCAAUAAACUUCGCACCUUAUCUCGAUCCUCACGUAUGUGCUUGCUAAAGUGAAAUUUGCAAGAUUGAGAAAGACUGGGCAAUAAUCCUCUAGGAAGAGUUGUUCAUACAACUGAGAUCUAAGCCCUAUUACCAAAAGACAACCAAAGCCAAGCAAUUGGUUGAACCUCAUCUGGUCUAUAUUAAUUAGAAUUAUGAUCAAUUUUGUUAGCCAAGAACUAAAACAAUUAUCAUUUGGGACCAUUCACCUCUCUAAGAAGUCAAGGUCAUAAUUUGUCACUUCCUCUGGCCAAAUAAGUGGGUCUAUAAGCCUGCAACACUACACAUAUUUCCCCAAUCUUCCCUACCAUGUAUCAAACUAAAUUUCACUAAGCAACAAUUAGUACACAUUUUUUAUCACACAAAACCCACACAACAACAAAAAGUUGAAUAAGCCCAAUAAUUGGCACAACGCACAUAAAGUGUGGUCAUCAACACCCCACAAACAACAGAAAGAAAGAGAAAAAAAACUAACAUUGACACAAUUCAUCAAAGUUGCAAUCAUCAAAAUUAGCAAAACAAUGUAGCAAAAGAAAAAAACCCCACAUAAGCACCAUUCAUCAAAGUAUUCUCCUAAUGAAGUGUAAAAAAAUGGUCAUCCUCAUCAUAAUGGUCUAAAGUAUGGAAAAUACCGCCAUCAUCAAGGAGACUUUAGCAAAUGAGUUAUAACAAGUACAAGAGGGUCAUACUCUUUGCUCUUACUAGCAAGCCUAGUCUUGUUUAUAUUAAAGCUCUUGAUGCAAAGGCAUAUCAACCCCACACCUAUAAAUGAGGUAGAAAGAUUUGUAUCACCAUUUGAUUGUUCGCCUUGACCUGAUCAUCCAAUAUGCAUGGAAGCUGAUCAUUGGGAUCCUCAACACUUGUGAAUAAAACAAAAAUGAGUAAGACGUGUCAACCUCAUCAACAAACAUCAUAUCCUUGGCAAAAGUGGGAAUCAAACACAAAGAUUUUUUCUUUCUCGCCAUUCCUAGGGAAGAUCAAGACCUAAACCCACUCAUAGACACUCUUAUAUCAAAUACUAAGAGGAAUCAUGUGAUCCUUCGAAGACCCAACCUCAUCACAUGCAGAAUUGGGUCAUCACCAACUAAGCCCUGAUCAAUGCUUAACACUUAAGUGAAACAAAAGACAACUAAAUACAAACGAAAAGAAAGCUAGCGACAAGCAAAGAAACCACUUAAAAUGUCAAAACUAGACAAGCCAACGUCCUCAACUUGAGCUACAUCUAGUUGGAACUAUUUGAUUGAACUUAUGGCAUGACUUGAACUCAAAGCAAAGGUUUCCACACGAACAUUCGAUUGAGCUACUUACUCCAAUAUGACACCUCAAACAAGACUUUGUAAUACAAAACCAUAUCUCACAAUUGCAACACCAGCUAAAACAACAACAAAAUAAGCAUCAACAACAAAUGGAAAAUAUCCCGGCACGCCAAAAUGACCUCAUAGAUCAACUACAAAACAGCCUAGCCAAUUCACGGCCACUAGGCUAACCAAAUUGACGUUGGGAGGAAAGUGCAACGAGUUGCAUGCAUGAAGCCCCAUCAACCUGGGUUAAACCAAAAAAAACUAGCCAUCAUUAGCACACUAUCCGAGAUCGUUACAAAGUCCUACCCUCUUCUAGUCAUAGAAGAUGUCAGGACUUGGGAGGGACUAGAGGUACCAAAAAUUAACAUAUCUUUAAUACACCACCUCCCAAACAAGGUACAUGAAAAGACACAAAAUCAUCUCAUCCUAAAACCAAGACCAUAAAAGAAGAUGACCUCUCAGACUUGUAGGAUGACAUGACUACAAUCUUGAAGUUGUACUUCUAUAGUUGGGCCCUAAAAGAGAACCCGGUAGGGAGGAAGGGCAGCAUAUAAACCUUGUCCAAUGGGCAUGGUAGCACCUUUGAGGAAGAAAGUCGUUUGUGAAAGCAUUGGAUGAGAAGAUCAUGGCACAAUGCUACUUCAAAAAAAUGAGCACUAUAUUCCUAAUAAUCAAACUUAAUCAUGAAAACUUUGAAAAUAGUGAGAAUUCUCUUACCUACAAGUAUAAAGACAAAUAGACGGAAGGUAAAUAAAUCAUUAAUAGAACUUAAAAUAAUAAAUUGAGCAAAUAAACAUAUGGUAAAAUUGGAACUCAUGAUCCUCCUACUAAAUAAUACCAUAUUGGAUAACUAAAUUUUUUAAGAACUUAAACAUAAGAUUUGGAUCUUUAUGAUCGUGUAUCAUGCUUUCUAAUAAUAUAUUAAAUACUUUUCUAGAUUUUGUGUUGACUUGUGAUUACUUCUCUAAAUCAAUUUUUCAGCAUCCUAUAUAUAUGUAUUUGUUAGGAUGGAUCAAUUUUUCAGAAUCAAUUAUCAAAGAAUGCAAAAAUAUAACUCCUCAUAGAGUCUCUUGUUUUUCCUCUACGACUUAAAAGAAGUCCUUAGUGCUUUCACAAGGAAAUAGGAUAAUUUUUUUUAUCUUCAAACCUGCACAAAGAUAUGGAAACCAUAUCAUUGAAAUAAUUAAAACGGAAAACAACUGGAAUCAAAGUGCUAUUGCCUUAUUUUUUUUAAAAAAAAAAAUCUUGGGCUUUAUGCAAAACUAAACAUUAGUUGCCUAAAUCUCCUUAAUUGGAAUACUAGAUGGGUGUAUCAAUUCAACUUGACACCUUCUUCCAUAAAUACCAAAAAUGAUAUUUGUUUUGGGAACAAGACUAGAGUUUUGAGCAGAUAUAAUACAUUUAUGAAAAAAAGAUAAUAAAAUGGAUUUUCAACUAAAAUAAUUCCCAAGCUAGUACAUUUCAACUAUGUGCGUAUCCGUAUGGCGUGAGAAUGUUUUUUUUUUUUAUAUGUUCUUUUAUAUCACAACUAUAAUUAGUAACUAGGAUUUUGAUUUUUUUAACAUAAAAUCAUAGAUAGAUAUUAUAAUUUUAAAUUUAUUUUUAAAAUCACAGUCAUCAACUAUAGUUUUAAGUUUAAAUUUAAAAUCAUAGUUAGUAACUAUUAUUUUAACCAUUUUCCAAAAAAAAUCAAAAUUAUAAUUAAUAACUACGAUUUUAUGAUAUGAAACACUCCAAUUUGAAAAUUAUUUUGAGAGGGGAUCUACUUUGUAGAUUUUUAUUUUAAAAAAAAUAAAUUAUUUUUCCUCAAACCUCAAAAAACAAACUUGUUUAGAACUAAAUUCAAUUAUACACUUCUCUAAUUUUUCUUUACCCUAAUAGAAGAUCAAUUCCAUUUUAUCACUUUUCCACCAGAAUCCUCAUGACUACUUGUAGAAUUCUUGAGAUGAAAUGAAAGAGUGGUAUGAGAUGCUUGUUUAAACUUUAGUUUCAAUCUCGAUCAAUGUUGUCCAUUCCCUUAGCUGUGCAUUAUUCCAAUGCCAGUUUUCCUCCAUAAACUCCAGGUACAAGAUUAGAUUCCGUGUGGAAUGGAUCCUGUUGUGAGACUUGACCAUCAAUAUCCUUCUCUCCAUUUGUGGGGUACUGCCCACUUGAUCACUGCUGUGGAAAUCUGACUAACACACCCAAAUUCUCAACAACCCAAAACCACAGAUUCCUGCAUCCUUCCAUCCAUCUUUCUUUAAGUAAGAUAGACAUCCAUUUGGUCUUUGUUUUUCAUUUAUUUCACUUUCUCCCAAGAAUACUAAUCUUGUCUUUAUUGACUGAUUAGUUUCAUUAGAGAUCAUCCAAGCAAAAGAAUAUCACAUUUUAUAUUAAAAAAAAAAAAAGUAUUGAAUAUAUUAGAAAGAUAUCAUCCUCGAAAAGUUGGAAAUGUAAUCUUGUGCAAGGAAAGGAAACAAGGGAGAGUCUUAAAUAAAUUGUUUCCAAAAGAGACCUAAUGACCAAUGUCUUUAGGGGUGUAUCCUUCAUGUAUAUAAAUAAGAAUUGAAAGCGAGGGAAUAUGGAAGUUUAGGGACAAGAUUUUGUUUUCUAUGAAUAAAUUAAAUGUGGCUUCAUGACUUCCAACCCUUACUUCGUCUUUCUCCACAUUAAAUAGCCCUUUUGAAAGUAUCAGUGGAGAUUGGCCCGAUUCCAAUGGAAUCGAUCACCUUUUCCAUAAUGCAUAGUUUGAUUAUGUUAGGAUGAUUAGGUCACCAACCAUUUGCUAAGCGUCAUAUCUUUUUUCUACACCAACUCAAAAACCCCACUUGGCCAAUAUGUUUUUAUUUUUUAAAACCAAUAUAAAUAAGGCAUUAACACAUCCAUUCUCAUGUUCCUCUACCUAACGUUAACCAUUUUCAUAUCUCUAGCAUAUCUCCACCCAUAAUAUCUAAAUUUUGAAGUGAUUCUAGUAAAAAUACUUUUUAAAAAAAUACUUUAAUCAAAAACACAUCAAACAAAAAUACUAUCAAACGCACUUUUAAUUUAUAUUAUUUUUUAUCAGUAACACUUUUAUUAUAAAAAAAAAAAUACUUUUAGUGGUAAUCAUUUAAUAUUUGAAUAUACAAAUAAAAAAACCUUUUUUAUAAUAUAUUAGAAAAAAAAUGGUUUUUAAAAGAAACAUCCAUCAAUAUAUUAUAUCACAAAUUAUUGUCUUUAAAACCUAAUUUUUAUUAUUAAAAAAAUGCCAAAAUUACUACCAAAUCAAUUCUAAGAAUAGUUUGAAAAUGGGUUGAACUUUUAUAUUUAUCAAGAAAAAAUUGUAGAAGUAACCACUAUCUUUGAAAAUUAUAUGUCAAAAAUAUUUUUAUUAAAGAGAAAGAUAAUUAUAAUAAAGCUAGUUGUCAUUACUUUUCAAUAACACAAAGAAAUCAUAUGGAGCUUAUAAUCAAAAGUUCUUUUCAAAUGACUAACAAAGGUUUUUAUUCCUUGAGUUGUUUUUACUACUAUUUUUAUCAUUUACCUAUGUUAUUAAUGGUGAUUAAAUGAUAAAAAAAAUAUUUAAUGCAUAUUAAUUUCUUUUCACAUCCAAUUUUCAAGUGGAUGUGCUAUAAAAAUGUUGUAAAAUAAUUUUUUUUAAAUAACAUUUUCAUGUGUGAUUUUUUAUUCAUAAUUAGUUACAGAAAAAACUUAAAAUGCUUAGGUAUUAUUAAAACGACUCCAUUUCAUAUUUGACACCAACACAUGUUAUUUUAUCAUCUAAUAUUGUUAUAUUAAAAAACACUCAAUUUAACAUGAAUAUUAUUAUUAUUAUAUAUUUAAAAUUAUUUUAAUCUUUCUAUUUAAAAAAAAAAAAAAAUUGUAUGCAUUAUCCAUAUUCCCAUGAAAUCCAAACGUGUCCCAUGAUUGUAGACUAAUUCGUCUAUAGUGUGGACGCAAUGACAAGUCAGAAGUCUCCCAUUUCUUUUCUAGUCAAUGGGCAUGUUCCACAUUUAUUUAUGAUAUUUCGGAUUACACGAAGACUUCCAAAAGCAAUUGGUUUGAUAAGCUUCAUGGAAUCUGAAGAUAAAGGAGGAUGCUACUUCCACAUUCUUUAACCGAGCGUAUCAACCACGCUCUCUCUAAUUUUUCCAUAUUCUUAAUUUCUAAAAAAAAAAAAAUUCAAUAUGGUAUAUCUAUUUUAAAAUUAUCUUUUUGAUAGAUAUUUUAUAAAUUAUUAUAAAUUUUAAAAUAUUUUUUCAACUAUUAUCCAUCUCAAAUUAUUUCUAUAAACUACCUUUUUUUUUUAUUUUAUAUUAUCUAAUUUAAACAGUAACAAGAUGAUUUCACAUAUGUUUUUUUAAGUAUUAUUAUGUGUGUCAUUUUAUCUUAAUUUCAUUCGUUUGCAUGUUGGACUUACAACAUAAAUUUCAUUACAUAUAUUCAACCAUUUAGAAUUUUUGUUUGAUAUGUAAUACUCUACCCGAAUAUGUUCUCAAAUUAUGUAUGUUAUGGGGAUAUAUAUAGAUAUAUUAUGGUCUAUUCCAUUUCCAUCACUUCAUGAGUUUCCCCUAAUCCACUUACUCCACUCUCAAUAAUGAUGAACUAUAUCUUGAAAGUGAAGUUGGCUUCACUCAUCCCCCAUAAAAGACCUAUCCUCAGGAGUCAAGACACUCGAAUUUGAACUUGAAGAGGAUAGAUCCCUGACCACCACCAUCUAUUGUCUCCUAAUAGGGGAGAUAUUAUUAGCCUUUUUUUAUUCUUUUACCCCACCUUAACCAAAAAAUAAGAUAAUCUUAUUACAAGAUUAUAAAAGGAACUUACUUUUCUUUAUUUAUGAUAUUUUUCUUUAAAUAAUUCAACUUUAUUAAAGCUAAGUUAGAUGUAAAUUCUGAUUAUUCUACUUUUGACCAAAUCAUAGCGGUGACCAACACUAGCUAUUAAAAAAUUAAAAUAAGUGAAAAAAAAACACUUUUUUUUUUUUACUUUUAUUUUUUAGCAUUCAAUUGUUAGAGCUUCAAAACAAUGAACUAAAAAGAUAAAACUAAGUGCAAGUUAAAAUAGAGAAUAAGGAACUCAAACAUUUUAUAAGACAUACUUGACUAACAUAAGUGAAAAUAAUUUUUUUUAAAAUAUAGUUCUUGCUUUGUGUGAAACAAAGUAGUAUUAUUUUUAUAUUUAUUUCAUGUUAUCCAUAAAACAAUACAAAUAACUUCAAUAGUUUGAGUGCUCUCCAAUUUUUAAAAUUCACUCUCACAAUUUCAAGCUAUAUUUGCUAAAGCUAUACGUUGGAUUUCUAAAAAUGAGGGAAUAUAUAAGUUAAUGGAUGAAGGUUUGAUUUUAACAAUAAGGAUCGUGUUAUUGUGCUCAUACAAUUCGAACCAAAAUAUACGCAACAACUCUUAAAAGUAAUGAUGUAAUGUUACUUAUGUUGGAUUUUAUGAAAAUAUCAAUAAAAAUACUUAUAUUCGUGUAAAUUUUUUGUGGUAUCUUAUAAACAUUUUAUGUUUUAUUGCUUUAUAUAUAAAUCUAAUUUCAUUUCAUUCAUCUAUAUUUAUCUUAUCUAUUUAUGCUUUAACCCCAUAUAUUUUUAUUUUCAUUCAAUAUAAAUUUUAUUAUAUAUUUUCAAUGAUAAAAACAGAUGUACAUUUAAUACCCAAACUUUUUCUAACAUUAAAGUAAAUAUAAUUUCACGAAUUUCAUAUUUUCUAUCAUCUUUACCAAAAUAAAUCGAAUGGGGUUGAUCACUUUUUUCCCAUUCCAUGAUUUGAUUGCGUGAAGAUGAUUCCAUCACCAACCAUUUACUAAGAUGUGACACCCAUUUUCUACACCAACUCAAACACUCCCCUUUUGUUAAUAGCUUUUAGCCGAUAGAAAGAAGUGAACAAAACCGUUUUCACAUUUCACCUACCAAGGCUAAGAAAUAUAAAUAGAAAUAGAAAUAAUUACUAUUUGUUAAAUAUAUAUUUUAUGUUUUAAAUAUAUAUUUUUAUUAAAAAUAAAAAUAAUCAUGAUAUUAAUUUGUUAAAAUUUACUCUUACAUCAUCUAAUAUAAAUGAAUCAUGUACGAAAAUGCAAGAAUUAUGAUCAAGAGUUCCAUCCAGCCAAUUAUAAAAAUGAUGUUUUACCUUUAACACAGGCUCUUCUAAUUCAAAUCUUUAUUCAUUUUCUCUUAUUGUUAUUAUUUAAAUAUAUGAUUAAUCAUGAUUAGAUAUUACAAAAACUUUCAUAUUUAAUAUAUUCUUUUAUCAUCGAUUAAGUUUGAACUUUUUUUUUGUUUGUGUAUAUCUUUAUACUUUUUCUUCUUACAAUUUUUUUUUUCACAUUUUAAUAUUUUUAUCAUAUACCAAAGCUUCAUUUAAAAUUUUCGUGUUUUUGAUCAUUUUUUAUUUGUAUAAAAAUUUACAUGAAUAUAAAUAUUUUUAUUGAUAUUCUGAUAAAAUCCAACAGCAGGGACAUUUCAUCAUUGCUUCUUGAGGUGGUGCGUGUAUAGUGCAUAUAGCAUGGGAAUAAGGACACGUCUCCUUUCUGACUAUUCAAUUCAAUGCCCUUUCACAUUCAUUUAUUAAUUGUUUGGACUAUAUGAAGACUUGUGAAAGCAACCUUCCCCCGUUUUCUUGACGCAAGCUGCUACUUCCACGUGAGCAUGCCAAACACGCUUAGGGCCUGUUUGUUGGUGUUUUCAAAUACAUUUUUGGAAACAGUUUUUAGUGUUUUCAGAAAUAAAAUUAUAUUUGAAAACUAAAUUCUAAAAAAUAAUUUUUAUUCUCGAAAAUAAAAAGAAUAAAAAAACAUGUUUAGUUCAAUUAAUAAAAAUAAUUUUUAAUAACAAAUAAAACAAAAAAACUUGUUUGGAAAAUAUUAUUGUUGGUUUUGUUUUUUAAAGUCGAGUAUUUUAUUUAACUAAUUGAUGUUGUAAAUAUAUAAAUAAUUUUUCUUCAUAAAAAUAAAAAUGUUCCAUUUUGAACAUUUUUUACAUCAAUUUUAAUUUUUUUAAACAAAUUAUUACUUUGUAAACAUGUCUAAAUAUGUUUGAUUUCAAUAAUUGAUAAACCAUUUUAUCAAAAUAUCAUAAAUCGAUAAAUAUCAAUAAUUAGAUUUUAUGAAGAUAAAAUUUAUGAUAUCAAAUAAUAAUGCAUUAUACUUGGAAAUUGAUGAUCUAUCUUUUCUACUAAUAAUAUAUUUAUGAUAAUUUUUUAUUUAAAAAUAUUUAUAAUUUUAUUUUAAAUUAAAUUUUAUUUUAUAUUUAAGAAUUAUAUAAAAGAUAAUUUUUUUUAAAGUAAAUCAAACUAAUUUAUUUAUAAAAAUUUAUUAAUUUUUACUUGGAAUCCUUGUUCUCUUUUCUCUCCUUCUCCUCAUAUUCUCUUUGUUUCUCUUCCAAGACUCAAACUUUUAUUCAGUGAAAUUGAAUUAUUUCUCUCCUCAAAUAUCAACUCAAUAAAGUCAAAAGUCAAAAUCUAGAUCUAUGAUUGUUGUAAAGAUUCUUGGUUACGAUUUCAUCUUUUAUGUUAUUGUUUAUGUUUUUGUUUGGUUUUUGAGAAAUCCUAGAAUUUAUGGAAGUUUCAGCUUUGAAAUGCAUUAAAAAAAACAUAUUAGGAUAAAAUCCCAAAAUAUCCGAAAAAUAUUGAAAUGGAAAUAAAGAAAAAAUAAAUAAAAAUAAAAAUUGUCGAUUAAGUUGAAUUUUUGUUAAACCGAAUUUUCAAUUUUCUAAUUUUUCCCAUUUUCCUUGGCAGUAUAAAAAAAAAAAAGAUAUAACAAUUUUUCUUUUUCUUUUUUAACUUCACAACACAAAAAACAUCAUUUUAAAACCAAGUUUUAGAAAAUUGAGAACAAAAAAACACUCUCUUAUCAAACAUGAUUUUUGUGUUUUUUGUUCUAAAAAAAAAACAGUUUUUGAAAACACUAACCAAACAAAUCCUUAAUGACUCAUUUUUCUUUUUUCUUUUUUACUUAUUUGUUUAUUCUGUUUUCUGUUUUUAUUUAUAAAGAAAAUAAAAAUCAAGUUUAAAACACAUGUUUAGAUAUUAUUCUUAAUUUUCAUUCUUGAAAAAUUGAGUUCAAAAAAGGUCAAAAAUGAAAAUAAUAAUUUGGUGCUUUUAAUUUUUUUUUUUAUGGCAAUGUUUUUCAAUCUAACAUAAAAAUAGAAAUAUUAUCUUUAGAAUUAAUUAUAAAAUUAUAGUCAAUAAUUUUGUACAUUAUUUUAAAAUAAAAAUAUAAUCAAAUACAAAAUAAUAAAAUAAAACAAGGAACAAAUAUGAUAUAAUAACAUAUAGUAGCAUAUAAUAUAUAAUGUAUAAUAUCAAUAAAUAACAACUAAUAAAAUUAUUAUAUAUGUUAUAUUGUAUGCGCAUGAGGUUUUUGGUAAAUCAAUUUAAUGUUUUAAAGUGACUUCAUAACUUGAUUUAAAUUAUUAAAUAAAUUAAAAUUUUGAUAAAAUAAUUUAAUAUCAGAAUUUAAAAUAAAAAUAAUUUUAAGUGUUAAGUCAAAAUAGUUAAUUUAUUCUUAAUGUCAAAUCAUUUUUAUUAGAUUUUUACUUUGUUUGGUAAAAUUGAGUUAAUAUUUUGAAAUUAUCAAAUUUACAUAUUUAUUUUUCUUAAUUUUAAGUAAUAAAUUUAUUUGUUACACGUUUCCAAAUAUAUAAAAUAAUUACAAUAAUUACUAAAUAUUUAGCUUAAAGAAAAUGAGUCAUGGAUAUAAGUCAUGCAUAUUAUAUAAAUUAGUAUUACAUGUGUGAGUAAAUAAGAUAGAAAUGAUUUAACAUUCAAAAUAAAUUUAUUAUUUUAAUUUAAUAUUUAAGAAUUAGUUUUAAUAUUUAAUAACUCAAAUUAAGUUAUUAAUCCAUUAUAUUGAUUAAUUUAUCAAACACCUUUUAAAAAUCUUUUUUUUUAGUGCCCAAAAAUAAAAUCAAUAAAAUUAUAUUAGUUUUUUGUUCGUCUCACGAUUUAUUUUAUAUGUUGAUCUUACAUUCCAAUUAUUGAUACUUUAAUAACAUACAUUUUGUAUCACCGUGAAAUCAUCUAAACUUAACCUUGCACUGUUGGUACUGAACAACUCCGUGUGUUACAUGCUGGAUGGCCUAGAAUUUUCCUUCUUCCUGUGGUUAGUUGCAAUAGAUUUUCCGGCACUGCAACGUUGGACACGACAGUUGAAGGAGCGCGGACUUAAAAGUAAAAGUGACGUGGAAAAUGAGAGAAAAGAUAUAAAAAGAAUAUGCUGAGGUCACAUUGCCAUUGUCAAUCGAAUCAUAAUUGUGGAAAUGAAUUCUCUAGUGGACCAACCAGCAGCGUGUUGAGUGGCACCCCGGCGCCCACGCCCCAUUGGUCAGCUUGCUUUUGUGGUGUGCAAGGUUUAUUCCAAACCUUUUGAUCAGUGGUUAUACAAGUAGCACAAAUCCGUGUGAGUAGCACAAAACACUGAGUUCAUUGGUCGUGGCUCCUUCGCAAUUAAUUCCAACAAGCAGGUCAGUUUGUAAAAUUCAGUAUAAUAAAUUCUGUCAGCGCCCCAGAUUUUGAAAUUGAACCGUUGGUUUCCACCACAUUCCCAGCAUUCUUCCUCCCAACUUUUGCCCGGCCAUCUUCCUACCUCCUCACAGAGAAUCCGGUAACGAACUCAACGUCACAAAAUGCCGAAACUACCCUUUUUAUUUGCCACAAUUCCAUUUCCCGACCAUCUUCCUCCCUUCUCACAUAGAAGUCGGUAACAAACUCAACGUCACAAAAUGCCGAAACUACCCUUAUUAUUUGCCACAACUCCAUUCCCCACCCUGUUCUUCCUCCUCAUCCUCUCCAUAUUUCAGGUAAUUUCUCAAAAUUUGGACGAUGAACGAUCAAUCCUACUAGACGUUAAACAACAAUUGGGCAAUCCACCGUCACUCCAAUCGUGGAAUUCCUCAUCCUUGCCUUGUGAUUGGCCGGAAAUUACAUGCACCGACAAUACCGUCACUGCAAUUUCACUCCACAAUAAGACCAUCAGAGAGAAAAUUCCAGCCACAAUUUGUGACCUCAAGAACCUCAUCGUACUUGACCUCUCCAACAAUUACAUUGUCGGUGAGUUCCCGGAUAUUCUCAAUUGUUCCAAGCUUGAGUAUCUGCUCUUGUUGCAAAACUCCUUCGUAGGUCCAAUUCCAGCUGAUAUUGAUCGACUUUCACAUCUCCGGUACCUAGACCUCACCGCAAACAACUUCUCUGGAGAUAUUCCCGCAGCAAUUGGGAGGCUACGGGAACUGUUCUACUUGUUUCUGGUUCAAAAUGAGUUCAACGGCACCUGGCCAACGGAGAUAGGUAAUUUGGCGAAUCUUGAACAUUUGGCCAUGGCCUAUAAUGACAAAUUCCGGCCUUCAGCCCUUCCAAAAGAGUUUGGCGCAUUGAAAAAGCUGAAAUAUCUGUGGAUGACGCAGGCGAAUUUGAUUGGCGAAAUACCGAAGAGCUUCAACCAUCUGUCGAGUCUAGAACACUUGGAUCUCUCACUCAACAAAUUAGAAGGUACGAUCCCUGGAGUCAUGCUUAUGUUGAAGAAUUUAACCAAUUUGUAUUUAUUCAAUAAUAGAUUGUCCGGCCGCAUUCCUUCAUCCAUAGAAGCUCUCAACUUGAAAGAAAUUGAUCUUUCCAAGAACCAUUUGACGGGGCCAAUACCAGAGGGUUUUGGGAAGCUACAAAAUUUGACCGGUUUGAAUCUUUUCUGGAAUCAGUUGUCAGGAGAGAUACCAGUAAAUAUAAGCCUCAUUCCUACACUAGAAACUUUCAAAGUUUUUAGCAAUCAAUUGAGUGGAGUUUUGCCUCCAGCAUUUGGCCUUCAUUCAGAGCUCAAACGUUUUGAGGUUUCCGAGAAUAAACUAAGCGGGGAAUUACCUCAACAUUUAUGCGCUAGGGGGGUUUUGCUUGGAGUGGUUGCUUCCAACAACAAUCUCAGCGGGGAAGUGCCCAAGUCUCUCGGGAAUUGCAGAAGUUU
This 45420-nucleotide long non-coding RNA is filed under the name Vitis vinifera (wine grape). RNAcentral's name for it is "long non-coding RNA (VVIN_LNC000899)". The record is from RNAcentral. Lineage: Eukaryota; Viridiplantae; Streptophyta; Magnoliopsida; Vitales; Vitaceae.